RNAcentral lists this long non-coding RNA (72182 nucleotides) under Eucalyptus grandis. RNAcentral's name for it is "long non-coding RNA (EGRA_LNC001009)". Lineage: Eukaryota; Viridiplantae; Streptophyta; Magnoliopsida; Myrtales; Myrtaceae. The record is from RNAcentral.
AGUUGGUCUUACUCACGCAUGCCCCCUUGAAACGUUGGCUUUGGGACUCGCAAGUUCUCGCCUCCACCACCAUCGGCUCCAUCUCUGUUCAUAUCAAAAUGAAGGUGAAAGCAAAAAAGGGUCGAGUUAAUCAAAAUUCUCUCAUGGAAAAUGAGUUGACAAAUCAUGCUCAGAACCAUCUAUAAGCCAUUUCGUUGAGCCCUUUAUAUUGUAAGUUCACUACCGUCUUAUUGUUUUGUGUGAUUUUAGUGAAGUGUAUAUGAAACACAUGCAUGCAUAAGUGGGUUGUAGGAUGAGGAAGAACCAGUUGCCACAAGCAGCAGCAUCACAAUAAGAGCAGCUGGAAUCAGUCGCUUCGAGAAAUCCAUUGUGUGUGUGUGUGAGAGAGAGAGAGAGAGAGAGAGAGAUGGAUGGAUGGAGGAAUGGGCACGGCACGAAAGUUGAUUUAUAGGUGAGUGAGGUGGCGAGCAUAAGCUAAUUAUUCGAUAGUUCGUUGGCAGAUUUGGAGUCACAGAUUGAUCGAGAAAAAGAGAAACGGAGGUAGAAAUUAUUUCUGCCAGGUCUAAAUGAAGGGUCUUGCAUGGAUCCCGAUAGAUCGACGGUCCAAAAUUCGGUCUAGCUCAUGGCAAAUUAAUAACUAAAAGAAAAAUGGGUAGGCUUCCGGAUCCAUCUUACGCCAGUACAGCACAAACCGCACUUUAGACAGGAUUGCCUUUACUUUUUUAACGUGUCUUUGAUAACUAUGAGCUUCGUUGUCCUCAAAUGCCAACCAUUGCUGUAGAUCUGCUCACGUUCACACAACGCACCCCUCUUUCUUUCCAAAGGAUCGCCUCAAAUCUGCUUUAACAUAUCUCAUCCAAACUCUUUUCAAAAAGAUCCAGCUCCUCGGGUCCCCCUUGUCUUCACACGCUCACCACGUUUAUAAAGAGACCCAAUUGAUUGCUCCUGCUUUUCCAUCAUCUAAAGUUUUCACUACAAAAAAUACUUAAUAGCUUUACAUACCAUAUGAGUUACCGACACUCCCCUUUACAGUAUGCUUUUCAUAUGUAAAAUGUACGAAAGAGUACUUCUUGUUCUGUUUAUAAAUUAGUUAUGUUUACGCAUGAAAACUAGUCGACAAGAUGGCUCUCCAUGAGCCACGACAUUGGUCUCCUUCAAGUGAAAACUGUUGAGUUGGAUUCACUUCCUCGUGUAGGAUUUAUACAUAUAGAAUUUCACGUGAAUGUUAAGCUUACUAAGUCUACAUGUAUAAUUUGUUUCACCCAAGGUUAGUUUCUAUAUAUGCGUGUAUACUUCAAAAGAUUUCGUUAGCAUUGAUAAAUGACAAAAUGACAUUGAACAUUAAACAAAAAUUCAGAAAGCUUAUUAAGCCAAUCAAAAGUUCAAGAAUAAUAAUAUAUAUCGAACAAAAAUUUAUGGAUCGAAUUGAACCAAUUGAUAGUUCAAGAAUAAAUUAUACGUCCAAAAAUUCAAGUGCUAAUAAUAUCAUUGUCACAUCAUCAACUUAAUGCUAGAAUUAUUAAUUAAUUUAAAAGAUAGGAGUUAGUGAAGCUUUUUAGGACUUUCUUCUUAAAGAACACAACUAAUAGAUAGUUUAUAACGUGCAUUGAUGGAUACUCCUUCCUUUCCAAUCUUUUUUUUUUUUUUUUUUGGAAAAGUUAAAAAGUACCCUAUUCAAAACAAAAGGAGAUUUUAUACUAAAAUAUUCCACCGUCCUUCGGACUGAGAGAAAAUUCUCAAAAGUUUGUUGGAAACAAAACUAGUGGGACAUACAUACACUCUAUUCAUUUCAAAGAAAACGAAAUUUGCUGGAAAGAUGUUUUCGAAAAAAAAUUAUUUGCAAAGAAAAUGAUUAUAUGAAAUCAUUUUUUAUAUUUGUUUUAGAACAAUGAUGAAAAACGCUUUUGAAAAAAAAUUAUAAGCACGGCCCAAGUCUCAAGUAAGAGUCCUCGAGUUUUGGGCUCUAGUAUCAAGAAUCUAACUCAGAUAUGGUCACAAAGGACCCGAGCCUGGCUUCAAGGUCCUUAGCAUGAGCACUAGGGACCUAGCACAACUUGCCAUGGACUUGGAGACAAGUGUCAGGGUCUCGAAAUAUUUUAUUAUAGGAUAAGUACAAUAAAAGUUCUAAAACAUAUCAAAUUGAUUCAAUCGAGUCCUAAAGUUUUUUUUUUUUUUUGAUGACCCGGGGAACCUGUACAACCGGUAGCCGGCAAGCAAAUCUUGGGGUGACACUAGCGGAGGACCAACCACCUCGACGCCACACUUAAGACACCAAAUGCCUCAUCUGGGUUUUGAACCCCUCACCUUUGGGGAAUGAUCAAUGAAGUUCUUAUCUAGCAGACCCCUCACCUUUGGGGAAUGAUCAAUGAAGUUCUUAUCUAGCAGAGCCACCACAGCAGUGGGACGUGAACAUGACAUUUUAAAUGAAUUUUUAUUUUUCAUGUGAUUUUUUUAAAAUUAUUUUUAUUCAAAUUUGUUGGCAAAUGUGAUUUUUUUAAAAUUAUUUUUAUUCAAAUUUGUUGGCAAAAGCACCUGCCAUUUUCUCUUCUUUUUUUUGAACUGUUUUGUUUCUUAAAUUAAUUUUAGCUUUUCUUUUCUAGUUUUUAAAUCAAAUUUGAAUAAAAAAUAGUUUUAAAAAAGCCACGUAGAAAAUAAAAAUUUAUUUAAAAUGCCACAUCCGGCCAUGUCAACAUUUUUUGUUAAAAAGUUUGAUUGUGCAAAUUUUAAGACUUGAUUAAAUCAAUUUGACAAAUUUCAAGAGUUGAUUGUACUUUUUACAAGUUUUAAGACUCAAUUGCAUUUUCCUUACAAGUUUUAGGACUUCCAUUACACUUAUCCCUUCUAUUAUUUAUCAAACAGUAAUAUUCCAAUUUAAUUCUAGCAACAUGCAAUGCAGAACCUUUGAUUUUCCACUACGAAAUUAUUUGACACUAGAAAUCCUUACAAGAUCGCCAUUACACUUGAUAAACGGCGACUGUGUGAUUCUUGUCGAUGCAUCAGCCUCGAUCAGAUUGCCAAGCUCAAGAAAACACCAAAAAAACAGGCCUUACUUAUUAAGUCAUCAAUGCCUGUCAUCACUUAGCAGAUAGUUUAUAAGUCACAAUACGCAUUUACAUGCUGGCAGGCAAAUGAACAUACAGCUACUCAGUAGAAGAUACAAGAAAUAGUGGAAGGUUCAGCGCCUUCCUGAUGCCACUGAUUCAGCAGAGAAGAGGUACUUCACUCUCGAAAGCACUGAAUCAUGAGCAGGGUCAUAAGGAUGAUCCUUUGAAGGGAUCUCAAGAAUUGCUGGAACUGGCUUAUUGUAGCUAUCAACCAGAAACCUUAUCAUGUUUGCAACCUGAAAGCCAGGGACAUCAUAAACAAUUAAAAGUAUGUCACAUAUGGGACUUAUUAUUGGAGAGGAAUAAUAGCCCAUUUGUAAUGAUCAGAAAGGCCUACGCAGCAAUAAUCGGCAAACACAGGACCAACAUUGUUUCUGCGACCGUCCAAAAUAUUUGGAUUGGACCCAAAAGGAUCUUGAAAUUAAUAAUCAUUGAUACCCUAUAAGAUGCUCUUAUUUGUUAAUGUAGGAGGCUGGAUGACUAGAUCAAUACAAGGCCAAUGAGCGACCAAUGCUUACUACUCAUGUACAUGUAAUAGACAUUAGUAGGGUUGCUGAUCACUAAUUUAACCAAAAAAAAAAGGACCCUUUGUUUGCUAUGUGGAAAAACAACUAACCAAAUGCAGUACCCUCCAAGCGUGAGAAACAAUAAGGAUACGUUUGGUCGUCCGGAUAAUAAUCAGGAUAGGAUAGGAUAAAGUAGGAUAUUAAAUCCUUUGGAUAAUAAAGGCGGACAUAUCUAAUCUUAUCAAGUGUUUGGUGCACUUCAGGAUAAGAUGAAAAAAUAAAUAUGAUAUUCAUUUAAAUUAUAAAAUAAAAAAAUAGAAAAUUCAAUUAAUUAAAGGCCAUGGAAAAACCCUAGAUCUAGGAAUUGUGGCCACCUCCGCAGUGGCUACCAUUGAAAACGGCAAGUGAUAUCUUCUUUUUUUGUUAAGUUCUUUCUUUUCUCAAAAAAAAAUCUUAUCCAAUCCGGGCUUAUCCCACCCCCUCCCCCGGAUUUUUUAUCCGGCGUUUUAUCCGGAUAUAUCCAGGUUUGUCCGAUCUGGUGGACAUUCCCAAACAUCGGAUAGAAUAACAAAUUAUCCUAUCCGGAUGUGGAAAAACAACUAACCAAAUGCAGUACCCUUGAAGCACUUGAUCCUUUAUUUAUCAGGAAAAGCAACCCAUUUAAUCUACAUUUCAAGUAUGAAAGAGAACUCACAUAUUGACUGAUCAAAACAAUAGCGAUAUCCUCCCUUGAUGUGAACUCCUUGAAGGUAUCUUCAAUUGCUUUCACAGUUGUUUCUAAGAAGAACCACCGAAAAAAGAAAAAAAAGAAAAAAAGAAAUCAUUAUAGAGGCAAGCAUCAGCUAUCUUAGAAUUCUGCAACAUGUUGCUUAAAGUAAUAGUGCAAUCAGAGAAUGAAAGACGGGUUACAAACACUAACAUCGCAAGAAGAAAUUAAAAGCACAUCUGCAUCUAAGAUUUAGCAAGAGACAUACCAGUUUUUAAUACAAAGAACUUGACAUGGAACAGUUUUAAUACAAAGAACUUGACAUGGAACAAACAAGCUACCUAGAAGUAUUUGGACAACAAGCAGUCUGAGACAUAAGGGGGUUAUGCCACAAUACUAUGGAAGAUAAUUGCAGCGCAAGAACUUGUGAAGGACUAAGAUAUUGAUAAAUGAAUAUCAUUAUCAAUUCGAAUGGACAGCAGAUAAUGGUAAUGUAAGAGGGACAGAAUCAUACUCGAGUCAACGAUGAGAUAGUUUGUCUUCCUCCUUAAGUCAACAUUACCGACACCAGCCAGUAAAAACCCAGUGACAGUGUCCUACACAGUAAAUUCGCAUCAUUCAAGAAUUUCCAGAUCAAAAUAAUCUCCGGUGAACUAGCCAGCAUUACGUUGCAUUGAUUUAUUGCAACUAAAGUGCACACAUGUACAGUGCCAAGAUAAGGAUCUACAGCGGUAAAUGUAGUCUCAUUUCUGAUAGCUAAAGUUGCCAGGAACACUUUUAAUCUCUCUAUCGUUUUGACUAAUACAUCUCAAAGCAGUUUCAAUACUGUGAUUCGCAUAACAGACCAUGGAUAAUUUCAGAGUAAAUCUCAGGCACUUCAGAAAAUGUCAUCAUUAAAUAAAAUUAUACAUGGCUAUUUCAUGUCCCACUCAACCAAAGAAUGACCCAUGCAAACAAACGUUUUCCAGCCGUUUGAAUCUCAUACAGGUAAAUUCUAGAUUCCUGCAAAAGGACCUGCGGCCUCCAAGAAAGAAAACUGAUCACUCGAGAUACUAGAAAAACCAAGACAGGCAUCUCCCAAAGGUUGAACCACCCAUUUAAGUGCUACAUGAUUUAUAAAAUCCCACCCACCAAAAGUCAGCAACAUUUUUGGCCAAAGAUGCCCAUUUUACUUCAACCCGCUUGUUCAAAUAGUGCAACCAUAAAAUAAAAAGGCUUCACAAUUGCCUCAAAAAAAUUAUUCAGAGCCAAUAAGAGAACGAUCCAAUACUUAGAGGAAUCCCUCACGGUCCACAUCAUCAUCAAUUCAUUUCAGAAUUUCUUAUCCGCACAUAGGAUUGCAGUAUAUCCCAAAAGUAUCUGAAAUCAUGACCCACGAUCUCACUGCCUACGUUUCUUCAGACGAUGGUCAAAUUUUUAUUCAAAAUAAGUUCUCGCACUCAGGACUCCUACAAGAGGGAUGAUAUUCAACCAGGAACACUCAGAUCGUAUCUAUGCGUCCGUACCUCAUCGGCAAUCAUGGCAAUAAGUGCAGAACUUUUCGAAGCGAUAGGCGUCCUUCCGGCCAUUUUGUAGUCGAAUUAAGCACCUGCAACCAAUUGGCGCAAACUGGGAGAAAUUAUCCAACAAACGGUCAAAUUAAAACCCGGGCAAUUCUCUCUUCUGACAAACAAGACAUCCAACUCUAGCAUUCUCGAAUCUUCCCGCGAAAGACACUCGCGCGCGCAUUUGUUCAAGUAAAGCGAUGGAAGCAACCCAAAAAAAGAAAAAAAAAAAGCGUCUUGAUACAGAGAUCUCGCCCUUCACGUUUUUCUUCAACCAAGGAGAAUCAUAGCCACUACCGGAAUUCGGAAAAAUGAACCCUAAAUUAAGAAGAUUUCCAUCAAAAGUACCUAGUUUCUUACUCUCCCGUCCCCGGGAUUUCCAGCGAAACGAACACAUUUGCACUAGAAAAGAGACAGAGAUCCAGAUCAACAUCAAGCCUAUUCCUAAUCUCACGGAAUUCGAUCGCCGAUUGCAUUUCGUGGGAGGAUUUCUCGGUUCGCGAUCGAUCAACGAAUCGCGAAAACCAGAUCCCGGAUAUCAAAUCCGAACCAUCGGAAGGAUUAUCGGAGCGGAAAAAAAAAAAAAAAAAAUCUCAGCUGAAAAUCAUCUCGGAGCAAGCGGAUCGCUUCGAACCUGUGAGCUGAAUUGUCGUCGCCGCGGAUUGACGGAGCAGAGAUGCUAAUUGGACGGACUGAUCCUGGAGAAAUUCGGACUUUUUCCAGGGCUGCUGGGCACCGGAUGUGAAUAUCUCAAAAGCUUCCGCCUUUCCGAUUGUAAGUUGAGACAGAACCUAGUUUGGGUCGAGAGAACGGCCUUAUUUUAUUUUAUGCUAUUAUUUGGAAUUAUUCUAAAGUUUAGGGUAGACAUUAAAUAAAUUAAAAAUUCAAUGACAAUUGAGUUAAAAUUUUAAAUAUGAUAUUAAAUUAAUUAAAAGUUUGAGUACACAUCACACGUUGAAUCAGAAUUUGAAAAUCAUAUAUAUUAUUUUCCAAGAUAAAUUGACACGUGAUAAAUACAAGAGUUAUCUAUUUGUGGAUAUCGAGUAACGCAUAACUAUAAUUAGUGUUUUUGGAAUAUUGUCUAGAAAAUCUUGGACUUAUUGUAUAAUGGUCAAUUCAAUCUUCUACUUUUGAAUUUUGACAAUUUAGUCACAAACAUUUUGAUAAUUUCCUAAUAAAUUUCAUCUAGCAAAUUUAAGUUGGAAAUUAUUUCCUUGGACAAUUUUACAAAUUCCAUCUACUAUUCAUUUUCUUCCUUCACUAAUUACCGCGCUGAUCGGAAGCAGGGUUCCUCUUGCCAGUCACCCCUCUCCCAAAUCUAGCGAGAGUAUCUCGAGCCUCACCUAUAGCUAAUGCAGAUCAAAGGGACAAAAAAGAAAAAAAAUUACAAAAGUUUAAUAAAAAUUGUAAUCCGAUACAAUACUGACGAAAUCACCAUGCCAACCAUUAUCAAUCGAUCUAAAUUGGCCAAGCGAAUUACAUUAAAAAUUCGUCAAUUAUUUGAAGAAUUUAUGAAUAAUAUUCCCCAAUGUAUCCUAUGGCACUCUUUUCACAUGAAUUAUGAGUGCAGGUGGUCCUACUCAGGUGAGAUUGGCAAGUGUUCCGGAAGUAUACCAAUAGACUGGAAAUAGAAUAAUAGAAACUUUGCUAUUGCCGACUGCGUUUUCCAAAUGACAGCAGAAAAUAAAAAGAAAUUAUAGUUUUAAAUGGCCGUGACAUAUAAGACUACUCUAUGCUUUAAGCGCAUGCCCUGAUUAGGGCAGAUUUCUCAGCUUGUACAUGUACUCCCUGCUUUUAUAUUUCCUUAUUAAGGACGGGUAAUAGAUACAGCACGAACCCAACUCACCGCACAUUUUGUCUUUGAGUGCCCUUUGAUCAAAAUUGGAACUCAAACUAUCAGAAAGAGAUUUCAAACUUCAAAAGGGAGAUCCAAUAAAAUCGCCUGGGCAUACAUACAAUUGAGAUUCUAUUGCAUCACCAAUGAAAAUGCUGUCGCAAUGCAUUUCACUUGGAAGAUAACACAUUUAAAAUGAAAUCUACGGGUCCCUUGAAACAGACGAUGGUUUGGGGGAGCGAAUAGACAGUGGACCAAACAUGACAAUAUAGACAUGUAUGAGAAGUCCUUCCAUAAUUACCAGCAGAUCAAACCAUCCCAAAAGGUACAAUGUAACAGUGCGAGUGUCAUUCCCAUGCGAGAGAGAUCAUGGAAUUUGCAAGCCCAGACUCCUGGAAGGUUAACUUGCUGUUGUAGUCCAGACUUUUCGAAGCCCCAGGAAUUGCUUGCGCCAAGCGAAAUGGCCUACUUUCAGCCUCUUCCAGUUGAGAACGGCAGAAUGACCACAGAAGCUGCAGAAAGAAUAAGUGAAUAACCAUUUUGUCCUACAAUGCGCAAAAUUCCAAGCAAAAGAGUCUAUGCCAACUAUCCAAGGCUUAUAAGCACAAACAGAGAGGGUUUCAAGGCAUUAUGCAAGAAAUCUAGCAUUUUUUUCUAAAUUAAUAGAAGUUUCUGAUGAACCUGUAUUGGAUCAGUUCGGAGAAAAUUCCGCUGGACCCUACGUCCGUCAGGAAGACGGACUCCAACCCGGCAAAGGAGGCUCCUGUCACCCUUAGGUUCUUCGGGAAGAGGUGGGUAGGCAGGUAUCUUCCCUGUGAUUGUCUCCUCUUCCUUGCUGGUAUCAGUUUUGCCAUCUUCACCAUUUGUCUUAAUUGGCUCUUCUAUAUUUUCCAAGGAAGCUUCCAAUGCCGCCUGUAGUUCCUCGUCUUCUUCCUUGGGCAUUUCAUCUGCAUCAAUCCAGGCAUCUGAAAUUACAUACAUAAUGGCAAACAAUGCGCAUACAAGCAGAACACUCCACCAGACAAAGACAUACAGACAGGGCCACAGAUUUUUUAGUUCUUAUACCGUCUUUAAGAUACAGCACCAUAUAUCAGAACAGGAAUUCAACACAUUAUACAGAAAUAUGACAUACCCUUAACUUUCUGUGGAGGAGUCGCAGACUUUUCUCUAGGACGUUUAUGUGAUGAACUUACAUGAUGAUCCUUGGGGCCACCUUCCAGGAAGAGUAACAAAUUCUGCAGUAAAAAUUUACUUUCUGGAAUGAAUACCGCAACUACUAAAUGUCUAAGUGCUUGUAUACCCAAGUUAUAUGCUGCUACGACAUUAACAUUCAUUGUUUAUCUAAAUGCAAGUGUAUUGGGUAACACCUGCUGUGAUAGGUACCUCAAGCAAGCUCUCAGGCUGAAUCAUUCCAGUCCAAGACCGCAUCUUUUGGCCAGUGAUGGGGUCAAUAACAAGCACUACAGGGAUUGAAUCCAAUUUGUAAUAGGUACAGACCUUCUGGCCCUCACUUGUGUCGUCAUAUACCUAAUAUAAAAUAGAGUGAGCUGAGCAAUUUAUCAUUUGAUAUUAACUUCUGUUGGUCAUUAUAUAUGAACACACAUUGAAGAGAGUAAUCUCAAUGAUUAAUCUGAACUGAAAUUUAAGAUAAGAGAUCUCCAAUGUCCACUAUCAGCAAAGGCACUCCCAGCGAUUGUAAGUGAAAGGGAGCACAUUUGCAUAUGGCCUUAGAUUAUCAAAUUGCUUAAUUGGAAAAAAAGGGAGGAAAAUAAAGUGAAGGGAAUGAAAAUUCAAAGAGAAAGUACUUGCUUCACUUGUAGGUGGGAAGGGGAUUUAAAAUGGGACAAACUACAUUUGAAAAGUGAAAAUGGGACCUCAUUUCACUGUCAAAGACUGCCAAGUACUACAUCAUUCAUUGUAUGUUCAAACUAUUUUAAUGCCAUUCAUCACAAAGUGGUCAACAAGUAGAAUGGCUGGACCCCUACAUAUAUUCUCACUAAUCUGUCAACUUAUAAAGUGUGCCUGUGCUCUGAAAGACAAAUCCAUACUCUACAGUCUUACUUUCUUCAGACUAAGGCUCUGUUUGGCAUGUUGCCAAACAGUGACUGAUUCUGAUUUUUUGUUCCCAGAAUCAGUUUGGGACGAGAAUCGCGUUUGGUAAAAAUUUUGUUCUCGGGAACAAAUUUGUUUCGAGAAUCAAUUUUGGAGUAGAUUUGAGAAUAAAAAAAAAGUUGAUUCUGCGUCCGAAAAUCAAAAAAAGAAUCAACACAAUAAAACUCUUCUUCUUUCCUUCUGUCAUCCCGCGACCGUCGCCCGCCACCGCCCGCCGCCGUCCGCCGCCGGCCGCCGGUCCGGCGAGCUCGCCGGAGGCUCACCUGGCCCCGGCGAGGCCCGCCUGUCCACCGGUGACGCUCGGCGAGGCUGAGCGAGCCUCGCCCAACUGCCGGCGAGGCUCGGCCGACGAGGGCCAGCCUCGCUAAGGGCCGGCGAUGCUCUGGUGAGGUCGCCAGCCCUCGUCCGGCCGGUCGCCGAUCCGGCGACCGGCCACAAGAAGAAGAAGAAAAAUAGGAGAAAAAUGAAAAAAAGGAAAAAAAGAAAAGAAAAAAUGAAAAAAGAAAAGGAAAAAAGGUAAAAGAAAAAGAAAAAAAAAAGUACAAAAAAUAAUUUGGAAUAGAAUCAAUGAACACGUUAUCAAACACAAUUCUAUUCUAGAAUAAAAAAAUUUAGACAGUUACCAAACACGUUUUUUUACUCGGAAUCAGUUCCCGGGAACAGAAUAAAAAAUAAUCAUUUCUUGUCAGAAUCAGUUCCUGGGAACAGAAUCGUUGCCAAACGCGCCCUAAGAUUUUUCCCAAUAAUCUCCCAUUCCAGCAAACAAUGUGAACAGGCACAUUCCAAAAGAUAAUAUCUGACUCACUCAUUAAUCUACUGUCUUUUUGGCAUACAUCCAUCUACUGUCUACACAUACACAUAAACACACAAACCUGGACUCAAAUAAGGCAAAUGCCUUCAGGACGUCUCUAGUUUAUGCAAUCGUUUGAAGACCAGCUAACCAGGUCCUCCUACAACAAUAUGAUAAUCCCACUGAGGAAUGUGGACACAAAAGAAACUCUUUGAAAUGAGCAGGCCUUGCUACCAACAUAAGGACUCAGAUAGUGUUAUAGAAGCCAGCAACUCUAUGGCAUAACAAAGCACGAGCACAGAACUUGGAACGGCAUAAAAAGAGAUGAUCUGAAGAACGAGUGUGCACUAUUAUUUAAGCUAAAAAUAAUUUGAAGUACUCGUCAUUCAAAUAUCAAAUAAAUUGAUAAAGUUGGACCACUAUAAGAGAGAAUAAUAAAGACAUGGCCAGAAGCACACCUGCCAGAAGAUAAAAUUAGUGCUGAUAGUUUGGGAGACAGCUUCAUUUGCCCACGUAUCCCGAUUCAGCUUCAAAAGAAAAUAAACAAAAGCAUAUAAGAACCACCAUCCUCAAAGAUUCCAACAAGGAGACAAAGCAAUAAAGGAAAGGGGGGAGAGGGGGGAGAGAGAGAGUACACUACCAUAUGCGAGCUGAACUCCUUGGUAGACUGCAAGUUUACAAGAAGCCACUUGUCUUGUAGCGAAGCUGCCGUUUUAGCCUGUUAACAUUCAUAAAUAUUAAAAUCAAUUAAAUAAGAAACAGCAAAUGGCCAACAAAGACAAAAGUACCACCCAAUGCAACUACACAUCUCCCUACACGUGCUAACUUCAAAUCAUUGAUGAAAGGCAAAAUAACACUCAAUAUCCUCUAUAAUUUAUGCUUUUCAUUCCCUGCUUUUAGAAAUUACAGUUCCUAUUGUCAAGUUUACAUCUCCCGAACACUCUUUCGUCUCUCUGUCUCUCGCAUGCGCGCAUACAAAUAAUUAUAGUAAAUUCAAGGCAAAGGGAGAGUAGAUAAUUCCCUUUUUCAAAUAAUGAAAUAAUAACAAAGUUGUCUUGACAAUUUGUACUUCUACAAAAGAUGUGUGGUGUAACCAUAACAAUCUAUGAUGCGAACCACAACGUCUGCUAAAGAAAAGAAAUGAGAACCUUACAUUAGUUCGAUCUCCAAUCUACACUUAAGAUAGGAAUGAAUUUCAACUGGAGAAUGAGCUAUUCAUUCUCAAGGCAAACUGCUCUGCUCGAUACCCCCCUAGUUAUGUAAUAUAAUGUUAUAAAAAAGAAAGGAAAAAAAAACUGUGGGAGAGCUAAUUCCUCUCAGCACAUGCAUUCUCCUUAUCAGUUCAAGAUUAUUUAAGUUGUCUCCAAGACAGUGCUGAUCAUCGUCGGACUAAUGCUGAAAACUUCAGGUUGGAGAAAACAAAGGAAAAUAAUAAAAUUCACCUAAUCAUUAAAAAUCAAACAAAAAACGAGGAUGUAUUAAAUUUCCAGGGGAUAAAUCAUCAAACAUAUGAAUGCAAUGAUGCGAGAAUGUCCUCUUGAUGCACUUUAUGAUGAUAAAUAAUGUAAUGUUGAUUUAUUAUGCAGCUUCCUUAAAAAAAAAAAAAAUCACUUCGAGAAUUAAUAUUGGAGCUCACAUAAGCUGUCAAUUUUCGAUUCAAAUACCUACCAGCCACCACCUAUGCAAUAGUGAUCGGUCAAGCUCACCUGAGUGCAGGUGACUUCGCUGCCAAUCAGCUGUGGUGGCACUAAGCUCAUACAGUGGUACUCUCAUUCCAGAUUCCGUCAGUUCUUGAUUUAAAUACCAGCCACCGCCAAAGCCAUAGUGAUCAAUCAAGCUCACCCAAGUGCAAGCACUUCGCUGCCAAUCAAUUGGGGAGGUGAGACCACUGAGCUCAUGCGGUGGUUCUCUCUCUCUCUCUCUCUCUCUCUCUCUCUAAAAAUAGUGACCAGAACCCUCCUCUGCUUUUUUCCAGAGCUGAUUUCCUUCGGUUAAAUAAAUCUAGUGAAAAAAAAAAUUCUAUUUAAACCUCAAAUUUCUCACAUUCACUGGUCAGUUCACUUGUUUUUUUUGGUUCAAUUUGGACCGACCCCUAGAGAUGCUUAAUGUUAGUGCCCAAAGCACAAAGUCACUUAACCCAUCCCAAGCAGAGAAAACUUGUCCAAGCUGACCAGUUCAGGUGUGGUUUUGGGCCCUCCCGAUAUUUUCCUUAAUACCCAUUUUCACAGGUUAAUAUAAUACUACUAAAUAGACUUGAAACCUCAUGAUCUGGAACUCAGAUUCCCCUGCCAGGAAGAGUAAACCUAGUAUAAGAACAUGUUAUACCAGUUAAAACAUCACUAAUGGAAUUUUCAGCACACCAUGUCAUAAAGGUUUGCAUACUUAGUUGUUCAGAAAUAGCCACUGGACAAUUAUUCACUCAAGCCCCGCGUUGGCAAGUUGCAGAACAUCAUAACCAAAAGUAACUAACCAUGAUAUCCAUAAUUUCCAUUCAACCUCAUCAAAAUGCCAAAGCAUAUAAGGCAAUUUACCAGAAAGUUUGAUAUGUGCACACAAGGAAUUUCUUUUCAAAGACCAUUCAACAUGAAAAGAAAUGAGUACACUCCAGAUAGAGUAUGAAUUAACUGCCCGCAUAUAGUAAGAGUGAAUUCAGGCCAACUACCUUCUCAAAGGAUCCGCGAUACAUCAAGUGGAAAGGAGGACGAUACAGAGAGGCGAGAUUAUCACGAGCAUUUUCUGCAGUAGAUGUUGAACCUUGAUCUGAUUCCCACACCCCAGGGCGUUUCAUUUCCUCAUCAAAGUUCCUGAAUGCAAUUAGGGAACUUGACUCAUGUGACCCCAUCCCCAAUGCUCUGUAUGGUCAUUAAAUUUUGCCAAUUAGUAAUAGCACAUUUUAUCAUUCUCGCAGAACAGCCAACAGCUCCAGUAGAGCAACAAAGACAUCAACACUGAGGAGAGUAUACGUACGGAUAUGAUAUCGCAUCAUCAUAGAGGACCUCUCUCCUAACAGGUAAAGGAGGACGCACUUCAUCUUCAUCAUGCUGUCCAAUGUUUUCAUUACCAUUGUCAUUCCUUGAUACCCUGUGGAAACAGAUACAAAUCAGAAGAAGAAGAAGCUAAAGAGGCAACAACACGAUAAUUUACAGAAAACAUGGCAAAUACCCAGCAUUUUCAUCUGCACAAGCAGCAUUUCCACCAUCAACUGGGGGAGGGUUGGACUGUCCUCCAAUAACACCACCUUCAUUACCUACAUAAAAUAGUUGAAGGGCUUCCUCAAGCUUCCAACUUGUUGCCUGAUGAAAUGUACCUUAUGAGAAUUCCAACAAUCUCGAUUUUGCACAGAUAAAGCAUUGUACACAAAAAAAAUAAAAAAUUAAUAAAUAAAAUAUCCAAAAUAACAGCGAUAAAAGUGAAAUUCACUGCUGAUACAUAUAUCACCAGACAAUUGGAAGGCAAAUGACCAUAGAGAUAAGGACAGCCCUUUUUGUGUUAGACCCUUAAAUUUUAUGGAAUGGACAUGUGAAACCAACGAUACAACCACUGAAAUAAAGAGGGGAAAAGGACAGACAAAAUUAAGCGGAAGUCUUAGGGCCGGUGGUCGGCUACUGAAUAUCAAAAUUUGAAUGCAAUUCCACCCAAAAGCUUUAGAUAACUUAAAAUGCUCAUCUCUAACAUCGGUUAUAGACAAGAUCUAGCAUGCAGAAGACAGUAGACUCCUGAUGCAAUCAGCCUGCUUAUGCACGAGAACCAACCGAAGAACAAAGGUUGGACCAACACGAUAGCUUCAAUCAAGGGAAUUACGCAUCCACAUGAAGAUCCUGACUUCUUCCCUAGCUUCAUCAAUACAAGGCAUUGAAACCACAAAACCCAGUAUAAAGGUUGACUUUUUUUCUCACGAAUACACAAAUCGAUGGACAAACGACGCACUAUCAUAACAAGCACCAAACAACACCAAACACCCACGUAAACCAGCUACAGAUCAAGCGUCCGUAUCCGUCAUAAUCCCUAUAACCAUCAACAAUUAAUCAACCAUCCUACCGACAGUCCCAACUGAAAACCAAGAAAAAGAAACCGAAAAACGAUAACUUUUCCCCCCGUAUCUUUCCACGCGCAUCGAGCGAGGUCAGAGGCCACGCCUACACAAGUUAGCUCAGCCAUUUUCGCAAUGUAAGUAAGGUCUCCGCGCGAUCAAUGCACGCUAGAGAGAGAGAGAGAGAGAGAGAGAGGAAGAGACGGUGGGGGCACCUGCAGGAACUGGCGAGCGGUAUCGGCGGUCUGGCCGACGGCGAUCUCCAGGAAGGAGGAGAUCAUGCUCUGCUUCUCGGUCGGCGAAAGGAGGCUCUCCAUCGCCCCUGUCCCUGCUCCUCCCUCGUCCGCCGUCGCUCGAGCGGCGAAACCCUAGAUUGCUCCUCCUCCGAUGGCGGCGGCGGCGGGGCGGCGGGGGGGGGGAGGCGAUCCUCCGGACGGGAGCUCGGAUCAGAUUCAGAGGAGAGAGAGGCCGAGCUGAAUCCGAGCUUCCAUGGCUGGCGAACGGCGCGCGGAGAGAGAGAGAGAGAGAGACGGGGAAAGGAAGUGAAGGUGUGGGGGGGCCUCUCUCUCAGCAAGCAGUCGGUCGUACCUGGGUCGGGACGGGCUCUUCGGAUUUCUUGCUCCCCCCUUUCGACGGGGCCUGGCGAGGGAAUUGACGGUCUUAUCCUUGUCGCCGGGAUAUUCGGUCUUAUACUUGUCGCCGGGAUUGGCUCCUUAAUGGUGAUUUCGCGCGUGGCGAUCUUGGCAAUUUGGUUUGGUGACGAGGGUGUUAUGGGUACACACCGAUACGGGACGGAAAUUAAAGAUAAAAUGAAGAAAUGAAGCAAGCACCAUUAUUUUCUCGAAUAAUAAUAUCAAGUGAAUCUUUUAUUUUAAAAAAAUUUCCCAAAUGAUGACUUAAAAUGGACCUUGUUUCCUAAAAAAUAGCCUAACCUCGUCUUGAUCAGAGCAUUUCCAUCAUUUAACUUUUUAUUUUCUUUCCUCUUUUUUAUUUCCAAAAAAGGUUUUAAAAAAAAGCUAAAAUUUUAAGAAAACAUGAUAUAGGCGGAGGGCCACCAACCCUCCCCCACCUAUGGGCUAUGGCCACUAUCCCAUCACUGGUGGCGCGUCAGCGACCCCACUGGCCACGGGCAGGGGGUUUGGGCUCAACCCUCCUGUUUUUUUCUCUCUUUUUUCCCUUUUUCUUAUUUGUGUUUUCAUUUUUUUAAGUUUAAUUUUUUUCUUUUUUGAGUUUGUUUAUUUAAGGAAAUAAACAAAAAUUGAAAAAGGGAAAAAGUAAAUGAUGAAAAUGCCUUCGAUUAGUUGAUAAGGUUAGAUCGUUUUUUGAGACUAACAUAAUACUUUAGGCUUUUAUUUGAAAUAAUGUUUGCUACAGACUCUUAAUUGAGAAAAUAUCGGCACUUUGGACCUUUAUUUGGAUUUUUUCCAAAAUUAAAUGUUGAGAAUUUUGUUGGGGGAGGGGGACAAAUUACAAUUAAUUCAUUUGUUUCGUGAAAAAUAAAUUACUAAUAAUGAUGGUUGGUUCUAGUUGAAAUAAUUAGUUAAUGAAUAAUAUUUUCAUUGAUCACGAAAAUAUUUACACAUAAAUUGCUAUCUAUAAUGAAAAUAUUUUUUAUUUAUUCAUUUUUGUAAGUGAUUUAUCUAGUGAUUUUUUAUAAAAUAUUUUUUAGUGUUUUUUAUUGGAAAUUUAAUUAUUUUGAAAUAUUUUUCUUAAAAAUUAUUGCAUGUAUCGCUUACAAAAAUGAAUAAACAAAAUAUAUUGUCAUCGUCUACAACAACGUUUACAUUCAAUUAUUGUCAAUCAUGAAAGUAUUUUUUAUUAAUUAAUUAUUUCAAGCCAUUCAAUUAUUCAUUUUUCACGAAAACAAAUGGAAGAUAUCCCAAAACUAAAUAAAUGAAAAUCAUUGACUUUCAGUGCACUCUCUUGUGUCAUGUGUGAAACGUGUAUUGAAAAUUAAUUAUCUCUUAACAAAAUCUUUAGAGAUAUAAUUAGUAGCAUACAUGCCAUAUUUAAAUGGGACAAUGGGCUGUGCCAAUCUUAACACGAUUAGACACGGUCCAUUAGGUAGAAGGUUGAACCCUACAUAGCUACAAUUGUAUUGGGUUCUAACCUAAUUAGGCACGGUUAUUUUAAGGUGCGAAUGGUAACGCUUCUUGGCUGGGGAAAUUUUUUUUUUUUUUUCAGAAAUAGUUAUUUUCUAUUUUUAUUCCAGGAAACAAUUUCUGAGUAAAAGAACCCAUUUGGUAACUACACAAAAUUUAUACUCUUAGAAUAGAAAAAAUAGAAAUGCGUUUGGUAACGCAACAAUUUCUCUUUUAUAUUUAUUCGUUUUUUAUUCUUGUUCACGGAUUGCUGCCACCGUCAUCGGUCGCUGCCACUGUCGCCGCUGCACGUCCGCCGGCCACCGUUACCGCUGCCGCCCAGCCCAUCGGCCGCCAACGACCGGCGGCAGCGGCGGCUGAUGGCAAGGGCCGAUGGGCGAGGGCGGUGGUCGGCGGCAGCAACAAGAGAUGAAUAAAAAAAACAAGAUUUACUUAUUUCUGAAACUUAUUCCUGGGAACAAGAAGCAAUUUUUAUUUUUAUUUUUCAUUUCUAUUCCAAAACCAUUCCCGAGCUAACUUUUUGUUCCCAGGAACAAAAAACUAACUUGCCGUUAUCAAACAGGUUUAUAUUUUUUUUUUGUUCAAGGGAAAAAAAGAAUAUAAAUUUUUGGGCUAGGGAAUGUUACCAUCUGCAACCUUAAUAGCUUUGCAUUUUAUUUAGUAAGGAAAAUGAAUUACUUUUUUGAUGACACGGCCUGACAUAAUGUUUUUGGGCAAUUAAUAAGAAAAAAAGAGAGGAUAGGUAAGACAUAUUUUGCAUUUAUGAAAUAAAUUUUACUUAACAUUUCAACAUAUUGGAAAACUACGAACUAAAAUCACAAAUGAAACAAGAAAGUUGCCAUGUAAUUUAGUUUUAUGUAGCUAUUGCACUUUUGUUUUUCGGAUAUCCCAUCACAUCUAUAUAACAAGAGUGAAACGUUAUUUAGAAAUGAAUUCUACCCUCUUUUUAUUUUUAUUUUUAAUGGUGGUUUAGGUAUCAUUAGUUAUUGGAUUAAUAUCAUGAAGAACAAAAAAUCGAUAUCAUGACAAAUUUAUUUCAAAUUAAUUUUCUGAUCAUAAAAUAUUAAAAAAUUGUACAUUUAUCACAAAUUGUACUGUCGUUAGUUUACGUUAAAUUUCAUUAUCAAAUCGUCAAGUUAAAUGACAUUUGACAAUUAAUGGAUAUACCGUAUUGGAGUUUAUAGGUGCUUUGUUUUGAUAUCGAUCCGAAUCUAACAGAAGGUAAAUAUGUCACAAAUGUACAAGUUUUAGGUUUUUUAUUUAAAUUUGUUGUUAGUAAUAAAAAAAUUAAAUUAGAAUAAAUUGAUCACAUAAUUUUUCGCGGCAUUGACCUUUAGUUAUAAUAUUCCAGGUCUAUCAUAUAAACUAUUUAUCUUCCUUAAAUUAAUUGAUCUAAAAAACAUAUAGAGAAAGAAUAAUACCCAAGUACUGUCAAUUAAUCUUGCUGAGUAGAAGAACAGUACACGCCGAGUCAAAGCUACAAAUUCACGCCGGCUUGGGAUUUGGUGCGGACGUCGGAAUCAGGCUUGGAAGCUCGUUUCGGCACUCCGAAACCUCAGGUACGGUCUCAGGCUUGGAACUCUCUUUCUCUCUCUCUCUCUCUCUUUCAAAUAGCAGAAGCGAACGAGCGGCAACGAAGCUCAACGUUCGCCGGCAACUGAAAUCCGAUCGGACGAGAAACCGAAUCUCUUCGAUGCCGGCUAUGGCUUUUGAGCUGAUUCCGCCGCCGUUGCCUCUCUUCUUUGCAGUCGCCGGAGCCCGGGCUGCCGGUGGUGGGGAGGGGUUAGGGUUCCGUCGGGCGGAAGUGAAGCGGAGGAGAUGGGGAGCAGGGUUCCGGUGGAGCACUACGAUCUGAGGGCCGCGAGUUCCUUCGUCGGGGCCUCUUCGCUCCACGACCUCAACACCGUCGACGACAUCGGCGGCGUCGGCCGGGACGCGGUGACCGAGGAUAGCUUGGACAACGACGACGAUUCCGCUGCCGUUGUGAGCUAGUCAUCUGUAUAGCUGAUGCCUGUGUUCUGACUGAUUGUUGGGGGCGAGCGCGAGGAAUUCCCUUUUUUUUUUAUGAAGGAAUGCGUGCUUGCAGGAAUGUAUACAUGAUUCGUACCGGGCUUCUUUGCCGAUUCAUGGCGUUGGAGCUGAAGAUGAUCGCUCGGGCCUGGAGGAAGUUGGUCCGUCGAGGAGUUCUUACGACGUCUUGACCAUCGAAGGUGAUUUGUUUGUUUAUCUGUUCUGCGAUCAGUUUUGCGGUGCAGUUAGGAAGGAUUUAGAUGUUGCUUUCUAAUAUUAUCAGUCGGGUGGAGUGAUUUUUGGACUGAGCGAAUUGUUGGUUGAAUGUUGGACUAGAUGUUGUACCUAUUGAAUCCUCGCGGGCGAGAUUUCUGCAGAUUAUUGUGGAUCAUUUCAUCAGUGAGCACGUGGUUGAAGUAUCUGAUCCCGAGCCUGACUACUCUGCUCAAUCUGGGCAAGGCCAGCUGAACAAAAGGAAGUCAAGAGAAGUCCAAUAUGAGGGUGACGCCUGUUUUGCAUUGCCUCUGAUGUACGUGGCGAAUAUGUACGAGACUUUAGUUAGCGAUGUAAAUGUAAGGCUUAGUUCAUUGAAUGGUAUCCGUGAGAAGACUAUUGGAGUAGCUCUCGAAGCAGCUGGUGGUUUAUACAGGAGGCUGGCUAAAAAAUUUCCUAAAAAAGGUAUUAUCUUUUUAAACAGAUGAUAAUGGUUUGAUUUCAUCUGCAGAGGAUUAUUUAUCAGCUGUCCCUUGGAUAGAUUUGGCUGAAGUCUGUAUUUGUGACUUAUUGUGAAGUGAGACAGUCGUUUUGUUUUACAAUGGUAGAGUGGCAUGUUAUUCACUUACCAGGUCAUUACUUGGGGUGUAACCGACCUGAGUCAGGGCUGCACAGUGGCUGGCUUGAGCCCAACUUGAUUCAUAUGCCUGGUGGUGGAAUCUUUACUUGAGCUCAGUCGAGUACUGUACUUGUUUGAGCCUAACAUGACAAGGAAGUUGAAAUGCUUCAGCUUGACCCGGUCCAACUUGAUUUUACAAGCAAAAUUUAAAUUUUGUAAGAUUGACCAUGGAAAAUUACCUGCAAUUAAAUUUGCACUAAAUAAAAUAGGUCUAAAUCAUUCUUUUAAGAUGUGAGAUAACCUAAAGGGACAUGCCUGUGGCCCUAAGAAUCUUAUUUCCACAGAAAAUUAUGGUUUUGAUCGGGGAAAAGCUUUCUAGUGAGACAAUGGAACUAGCCCUAAUCAUUAUAAGGCACCAAUGAACAAUAAAACGGACACAAAAGUGAAGGUCUACGUGUUUUGUUUCAAUGAAUAGAAGGCUUGGUGGCUCUUUUAUUGUAAUUAGCACUUAAACUAAUCCCUUUCAUCUUCAACAAUCUGUCAAACAGGGUAGAGGCUGGUCACAUAUGUGUGUGUGAGAGAGGGGGGGGGGGGGGGAGAUCAUAUCAUAGCUAGGGUGCCAUUAAUCAGUAAAGGGAGUUGCAGGACGAGAUGAAAGAGAGAAAAUGGACACUGGGUUUCUUUUGGAAAAGAGUGCGAUUCAAACAAUAAAAGGGGUAUGCUGGUCAUGCCACUUCAGGGAGUUCCUGAUUAAUCAUUUGAACACAACAUGUGAAAAAUAUAUUGGAAAAUUUAAUUAUGGUUGUGUGCUGAUUGAGUCAAGUAUCUAGACUCGAUAAGCGACUCAAGUUCCUUGAGCUCCGUUUGAGCUAAAAGGAUGAAGUCAACUUCAGUAUACACAAAUCAAGCUUGAUAGCUCCAGAUGACUUGGCUUUCCCUAGUUAUAAUUAUGGUAUUGUGAAAGAAGAUAUUUAAUUGCUGAUAAUCACCUAUGUUUGUGCGUUGGCAUCACACCUAUGUACAAAAACAAUCUUGUUUGUACGUUUGAAUCUUAGUUGUUAUUGCUUUCAUAAUGGACAGGUCCUUACACAUUUAGGAGAAGAGAGUUGGCUACUUCUGCUGAAACACGAACAAAAUUUCCUGAAUUAGUGAUACAGGAAGAGAAGCGAGUUCGCUUUGUAGUAGUUAAUGGUUUGGACAUUGUUGAGAAACCAGAUUGUAUGUCAAUUGACGAUGCUGAAUGGUAAGCUGCAUCCUAAUUGACCUUACUAGUAUAAUAUAAAGUUUUUUGUUCCAUUAUAGUCUUCUAUCUCUUUAUAGACAUUUCAAUGCACUGAGCUAACUAUGCUUUGUUUAUAGCCUUCUUCUUGUCCUCUUUCAGCAUUAUUCCAAGUUUUCUACCUCUCUUGUGUUAUGUAAGGGAACUGGUUGAUAAACCACAUGAUAUUUAAGAAUGAAAACUUAAUAUUUCUACAGAAAAUGAUUAAUUAUUAAUAUAUCUACAAAUGAGAAGAAAUAGAAACUUCAUAUAGUGUCGUAUCACAUAUGCAUACUUCUUUGAUAUUUUUCAUUUCACAUGUAUAAAUUAAGCAAUAAAAAUUUAUUAGUUAUGAUUUUUAUGCUUGAAAGAUAGCAGGUUUUUGUCAACAUGUUCAUCUGAAUUUCAGUGCUGUAAAAUAAUUUUCUUUUCUAACAAUAUGAAGCUUAUGAACUUGGAGUGUUGGACCUUCAGUCUUAGCCUUUGUAAGGGGUGCCUUUGCAUUUAGAACUAAGAAGAAGUUUAGUGUUUACUAUUCUUGCAUUGUAACUGGAGAUGACCCAUUCUAGUAUGAGUCAUGGCCUUAAUCAAACAUGCUCUUACAGUUAAUGAUAGUGAGAUUUGAGCAGUAAAUUAACAUAUUGAAUAUGUCAACAGGAUAUUCAUCUGUUAUUAGAAACGAACAGAAUUGUGCCAAAUAAAAGUCAUCAAAUUUUCAUAUGCUUAUAUGGCGGAAAUAGAACUCUUCUCUAUGCAUCUGCUUUGUAUUACAUGUUGGCAGAUGGCAUUUUAACAUUGAUUUUUUCUUAUUUAUUCUACCAUCUAGACUCUUCCUUAUGCGAAGCAUGAUAAUUUCUUGAGCCACCUUCAUGCACUACCAGUCAUAAAUUUUCAAAUAUGUUAGCACCUUUUCCUUUGAUACCCAGAAAUCUUGCUAUUUUUGUAAUGAACUGGCCUUCUUCUUUUUGUGUUCCAGCACCUUCUUUACAGUCUAUUGAUAUUUUUCCCAGUUACUUGGAGUGUGCUACUUAUGUUCUCCCCCCUUAUUGACCUUUUUCUUUUUUCCAGGUUUAAACGGUUGACUGGUCGAAAUGAAGUUGCUAUCUCUCCUCGUGACUAUAAAUUUUAUUCACCAAGACACAAGUAUAGGCGCAUUGUGUCCAAUUCCGUAUCUAAUAUUUCUGCUCUGCCUGUAAGCCUUAUGACUCAUGAAAAGCUCUUUGAGAGAACAAGCAUUGUACAGUUUGAUUUGCUAUGCAUUCCAGGCGAUAAUAAGGACCAAAUGACAUGCCCGGCCUAAAAACACAUAAGAUUAAUGACUGGACUUAUUUGAUAGCAUUACAUUGAAAUCAUGUUUCCCUUUGUCUUUCCUACAUUUCCUCGUCAUUGCUGUGCAUCUGGGCUUGUAUAUUUGUGUAGCUGCAGUUGCACAUAUAUUAUGUGCAUGUUUUUUUGUGCUGUUUUUUGUUGUUUGAUUGGUUUGAAGAUUGAGCUACUUUAAUUGCUGAUCUUCUGUUUCAGCCAUAUCAUGGAAGAGAUUCCUCAGCCUUGUCCCCUGCUGAAGAAGGGUAUCGCUCCAUCAGUGAAGUAAGGUUUUCUUUCUUUCUCUGCAUGUUUGAUUGACAUUGUUUUCAAUCACUGCGAUUCACUAUGUAGCAUGCUUAUCUUCUUUUCCGUUGGCAGCAUCUGGUUUAAUGCUGGACUAUUCAAAAUAGUGAAGUUCUUUCUCAAGGUGCUUUUGUCAAAGCAUUGUAUUUUGAAGUUAUUACCUAUUGAUCGUGUCUAAGUUCUGAGACUAGAGAGGAUCUAGUUUAGACAUAUCUGCUGUCGCACGCGCGCGUUGUUCAGAAUAUUUCCCAGAAGCAAAUCCUGAUAGUUUUCUUUCGAAGAAAUAAUUCUGAUUUGAAAGCUGGUAAGAGUAAGGAUCCUUGCAGUACUCUUGUCAAAGGCAUGCUUGUUACAAAUGUUCUCAGAACUCAUGCAGUUAAAUUGUGUGCGGAUGUCUGAAUUUGCUGCAGUUUAUCUUGUCAAUUGCAGCCACACCAGUAAAUGUUGCCCUCUGGCAGCUGAGUGUGAUGUAGAAGCUCAUGCUUUCCUGAUUAUAAAUUGUUUUCCAUUUUUGGGAAGUUGGUUGAUUAUAUCCUACUCUGCAGCCACAGGGUCAGCAGUCGACUUCGAAGCAUGAUAUGCAGCCAAUGUCACAUCAGCCCCAGUUUCACCCUAUCCACCAGAGUCAUCAUCAACCAAUUCACCAGAGUCAACAUACAUCUCAUUUUCCUCCCACCCAUCAUUGUGGCUCAUCUUCUAAUUUGCCUGAUUUGGCCCAUUCUCACCAUUCGUCACCCAUAUCACAACAUAUGGCAUGCUUACAACCCCUCAGUGGAGGCCAUGUAGGAGGGCGCUUGCACAUAAUGGUGAGAAUCAGGAACUUAUUUUCUAUGGUUUGUAUAAGGAUCCUAAGGUUUUUGCUGUCAGUUUGCUCAUCCGCUAUAAGUCUAAGACUAAGGGAUUGCAGAGAAUUAUAUCAGUGCACACAAUUCUUCUAAAAACAAAAUGAAGAAGUAUGCACAAUUGCGUCUUGUAGAGAUAAAAUAUAUGUUCGUAAUUUACUAUUAGUACUACUGUGUUCCUUCAUUGAAAUUUUUUUUUUUGGGCAAAUAUGGUUUAUUGACUGAUUACUUUUAUGGUUUUACUUAUGUCUUAUAUGGUUUUUUAUUCUGGCUUUCCCCCGAAUGAACUUGGUGGGUUACUCUCUGGUUGUUUGACAUAUGUUCGUGAUUUCAACUGUUUGUUUAAUAUGUUUUACAAGCAGGCACCUUCCCCUGCAAAAUUCUGUGAUGAAUGUGGGGCCCCAUAUUUGAGAGAAACCUCGAAAUUUUGCUCGGAGUGUGGCGCUAAGAGAUUGGGAACAUAACACCAACAUCAUGUCCUCCCUGGCCCUGUAAUAUUGGUGAGCACAGAUUGUAUAUUUAUUUGCUGAGCACAUCGAUAUCUUAUUUGUUACCCAGGCAUUGGAGAAAGUCUGUCAGUCUCUCAUGUAUUGACCAACAAAUAUGCGGUAGGAGAAUUGGACUGGUCAUCUGGCUUCGGCCAUGGUUGAAGGCUAUAUAUGCUGCAGAAGAGUGCAGAAAAUGGCUUUUGUUGUAUAUUAGAUUGGCAUUGUGGUGGUUCUUUUCCUUUAAUCAAACAGGGAAAAGCCAUGGAUCCUGCGAAGUUCAUCCAUCUCCUGGGUUUUAAGAUUGUUAUGAGCUUCUUGCGACACGUACUGGUUGUAAAAAAUAGAUCGUAGAACAAUUAGUGAUUGUUGUCCCUUCUCUGAGUAAGAAGAGUAGCUUGUAAAUUCUGAGUUAUAAAUGGGAAAUCUAGGCGAUUGGAGUAUGUGUAGGAAUGCAGAUGGGUCUUGAGUUUGAUGGCAGAAUGCAUUACGAUGCUCGACCAAGCUGCCAUGCCAAUGCCAAACCUGAGGAAAAAGGGACAUGCAUAGCAAACCUUAACAUUGUGUUUGUAAAAAUAUGGAAAUUCGUUUUCCCGACAUGCUUUUAAAAUGCAUGUGGCAGCUACACGUCCUUUUGAAUUGGAGAAGGAAAGGAGGAAAUUGCGUCUUAGGCCGCAGACACACACUUAAAAGAGAAGUGCACGUGCUAUUGGAAAAGUCUGUGAGCUAGUGUUAGCAGAGACUCCGGGAAACCAAGACAUUUUCAUUUCAAUGAAUUAAGGCAGAUUACUUGCAGGGGAAAAAAAAUAUACACAAUAGGAAUCUUAACAUGAAAAGAUCUCCUCAAAUGUUUUGUUUGAGAACGACUUUUUUUAACCUAUUAGCUGUAUCUUUUUCAUGUACUUGGUUUAGAUUUUGACUUACAGCAAACAAGACAUGCGAUGGCUCGGUGCGAUCAUGUCAAAGUCACGACCCCCUCUCGAGAAGGUUGCCGUCCUUGGGCAAAAAAAGACGAUCAUUGCGCAGUGGUUGUGCAGCUCUGAGAUGGCACAUGCGUAUGUCCAACGUCUUAUUAUUAUCCACAAGGCAAGAGUUAAAAGACCAUAACCAAUCUACACAAUCGAAUCACGCAACUCAUCCGAUAGGACGAUUCGGGGUCGACAACAUUCCAAGUCGGUAUGAAAUACCUUCUUUCAAUUUCGACCGACAGCGCUAAAGUCCGACAACCAAUCAUCAAAUCCGAAUAGCCGUUGCCUCCCACAUUCCUUAGUCAAAUCCCGUCCGUGGGAUCUAGAUCAAUCACCCCUCGGGCUCAAUUGGGUUCUCGACACGUGGCAAUCUCAAUCCCGGGGGUCGUCGUCUACUUUGACUCUUUGACGUUUCGUGGAGCAGCCUCUAAGAGGGGCCACGAGUUUUCAGUGGGGGGAAAUGGGGGACUCUAAAUAGCGCAUGGAAAAUCCGACACCAAGUAAAAUAUAAGGUCAACACUCCUUAAUUUAAUAAUUAUCAUUUUCCAACAUUGGUUGCUGGUCAUCUUUAAACAAGCAAUCACCACCAUAAUCCACAAUUAAAUUAACACGAGCACUAACUUUUUAACAUUCUUUUCACGACGAACCUUUUUUGGAGUCUAAUUUACCAAUUGCUUUGGAGGGUGGCGUGCAAAUUGCUUGUCUCAUCUAAAUUAACUUAAUUAAUUUAUUAUUUUCUUUCUUUUUCGCACGGCAAAAGUCGAUAGAUUCGUGCCUUACUUCGACACGCUUCUAGGACUAGUUGGUCUCACCCCAUUCGUGUUGCUUUACCAAUUUAUAUAGUUUAUCUAUUUAUUUAUUUUCAAAGGGGGGGAAAGGCAUGCACAUUCGACAGGACAAUGGCUGCCACUACGAUAAUGGAUCUCUUAUCUUAAUAUUGUUUUUAGGCGCUGGAAAAUGUUUCUUAUUUUAUCACCUAACUUUGAUAGCUCUUUGUUCAUUUUAUUUUCUCCUUGAUAGGUCCUCACAAAAUUUGUCAGGUGUCACGAGUUUAUUGGGAGAAUCUGAAGCGCGUUCCUCUCUGGCCGGAAACGUACGGCUACGUUAAUUUCACUUUUGCACAUUAAUUAGUGCGAUGCCAUUGGGUUUAGCUUAAUCAGCGGUCCCCACUUUUUCAGCAGUCCGUGGACCUUAUGGCUUAUUGAACAAAUCACAAAUGGAGCAAAAAGAAAAGGGCAGCUUCUUUUUUGUAAAGCAUGCGUCUUUCUUGGCUUGGUGGCUGAUUCACCUGGUGUUUCUUAAUUUUGUUAAAAGUAGGUCGAUAGAAGUUUCAUGUCUUGCAUCAAGAAAGCGACCUUAGGGCUGGCAAUAGCCCCUGUGAUUGCUUGGUGAGUAAGAAUGCGUCUUUCUCAUUUAUAACGUGAAUUCGAAUCACCAUACUAUGAAUAUUAAGCUUAGGGUCAUUGUCAAGAGCACGAUUAUGUAUGCUCCCUCAGUUACAGGAUACGAGUGGAAAUAAAGAAACUAACGAAAUUCAUUAGAGAUUAAUAAAGAGCUCGAAAAGAGGAAUCAGAUCUCUUGUUAAAAAGAAUUAGACAAAAGAAAAGUAAAAAAUAAUAGAGGUUGCGUGCGUACAUCUUAGGGCUACUUUGGAAAAUUAUUAGGGGCAAUUAUGAUUGGCCCGAACCAAGGCGGUGGCAAGAUCAUCGGCACAAAAGAUAUGCCACAGGAGAAUUAAGUAUUUAGGGUUAGAAAAGGUAUUCUAAUAUGAGAAAGCAAGAAGAUAGGUUUGAGCAGCUGUUCUAUAAGCUUCUUGCGACAUUUAUAUGGAUUGAUCCAUGUACCCGAAACUUGAUGAUUAUCUCGCAUUGGAAGAAAAAAGAGAAUUCUAACUCAAUUAGUCAUCAAAAGAGAAUAAACUAUCGAGAAAUCAUACCAAGAGCUAGAAAUUUGGCAUCAAUUUUGGAUGAGGCUCCAAUCCCUUUCCAAUUGCUUUCUUCCCAUGUUCUUUGCAUUGCUUUCUCUCUUUCCUAAACGGGGUUCGAAGGUUUAGAGACAUCAGAAAGAGACCUUAUUAUUUCCUAACUAUCGCUUACCAAUCAAACAAUAAAUCAGCGACCCAUAUACUUUUGGGAAAGGUUUUGUUGCAGUAGGGCUACAACAUUAAUGCUUUUGUUAGAAUAUGUGAUUGUUAUUCACGUUAGUUUUGAUCAUCCAAAAGUAACCAAUCUAAACACCACUUUAAAGAACCUAAAAUUGAUUUUCCGUCUAGGGGUCAUCCAUUUGUUUCCUCUCUCGUCUUCCAUUUCCUUGAUCUCUUCAAACCCAUGCAAACUCUAAUCUUGAUCUCUUCAAACACAUGCAAACCCUAAUCUCUCUCUCUCUCUCUCGACUAGGGAUGGAGCUCCAUGCUGUGGCAGAGACGAACCCAGAUCUGUCACAUUGAGCUCCUAGAUCAGCCAUCGAGGUAUCGUUGAUACUGUAGAGAGAGAGAGAGAGAGAGAGAGAGAGAGAGAGAGAGAGAGAGAGAGAGAGAGAGAGAGAGUUUGUCUUUUGUUUUGGUAAUUGUUAUUUACGAGUAAAUAAUUAUGCUAAUAACCCGCGCAUAAAAAAUUAUAGUUUGGAUGAUACUAUCACUCUUCAUUCAAAGUGCAUCCAUCUUUUUGUCGCAAAUUAUUAAAGAUAUUCCUAUAAUUAAAUUCAUCCUCUUUUAACUAGAAAUUUUCAUGACCUGAGAAAGGAAAUUAUUAUAUCACUCCCACAUAGUUAUUGAAUGAUGACUAGAUCGUCGUAAUGUCAUUUCAAUUUUGCUUGUGAACUCAUUUCACCAGUCUAAUUUACUCUAUCAUAACCCAAACGAUGUGGUGUUCAUUAUCAUCAUAUAGUUUAAAUUUUUUAUUAGAAUAGACUGUUGCAUGCUCAGCAUUAGAAUUAAUAACUCGUCCUCAUAUCGAAUGCGGUGGAACUUUGCAGAACUUUGCCUUUGUAUAUGUACAAUUUUCAUUGCCAUUCAGUAGGAAGUUGCUAAAGGCAAGCCUAAUAAAGGGUAAUUCCUCAAAUUAUCAUUCAAUUUUUUAUUAUUUCAUCACCGACGAUCGAACACCACCCAUGAAUUGUGUGAUAGGGACGUCCUUCAUGAAAGGUCUUUUAUAAACACAAGGGUCUUCUACAAAUACAAACCGAAAGGUCACUGCCUCUUGUAGCCAGUGGCAUCGAAAGUUAGGAGGAAAAGUAUGGAGUGGAAAGUUGAUGUGAACCGAUCCACUCCCGAUCGCACCUGAAUAAAAAUUCCUACAAGAAGAAGUCCCUCCUUUUCUAAGUCUUUAAUCUUUUUAGUAUUAAUAAAUUCGAUAGAGAAAAAGGUCCAUAUAAUUACAAUAAAAGGAGGCCAAGUGCUCUAGCUAUCGGCUGAAAGCAACCCAAUAAAUAAAUUCAGAUUAGGAGGCUAAGGAGAUGUGCUGCGGGAUCUUUCCUAGGGCUAAAGUCUACUACCUCCAUACAUAAUCUUGCCUAAGCUAAUAAGAUCAAGGUUUUGGUUUCUCUAGUUGCUUUAUCUUGAUCCAUAAUAGACUUUUGAUGUGAUUGAUAAGGCAUUAUCUCCUGAAUUCUAUGUGGCAAACCGUGAUUCGAUUAUACGUGCCACCUAUAAGUAUAAAUAUCAUUUCUAGCAAAAGUAAUGCUAGAAUUUAGAUGUACAAAUAUAUAUAAAAAAAAGUCCUAAUCUAUCGUACUUGUACUGAUUUAGUUUUAAACCUUUUAAUUAUGCUAAUUUAAUUCUAAUCUAUUUUAGUUAUGCCAAUUGAAUCUAUCUAUCCAAUUUAGAUCGGAAAUUAUUGACAUGGACGUCAGUAGUGUUGGGGAAAUGUAAGUUCCUUUGACCUAAAGCUCCUAGGAGAAAUGAAAAUUCCAUUUAGUAAAAAUUCCUUUGUAAAGUUACGUUGACCUAAGUAGUCAUUUUUUCUUUUUUGCAAAGGUAUUUGGGUUUAAUUUUUCUUUUUUAUUAAAAAAAUCAAAUCCUUUGCCGACUCUGUUGCCCAAGGUCAUGCAACCAUUGGCAACCCAGGUAGCCGUCAUGUGCCCUCGCCGACUAGCCUUGUCACGCUGGCUGCCCUCGCUUAAAGAAGAUGAACAAUAAUCAAGGGCAAAAUCGAAGAAUAAAAGAAUUGAUAAGUGUAGUUUUGGAAAAAAGAAAACUAAUUUUAGUAUUUGGCCCAAAUGUUGAAAGCCCAAUGUUAGUCCCUACUAAUAUUGGGUUUUUAGCUUUCUUAAGGUCAGCAUUUAGUUAAAGGUUUUUGAAGGUCAAAAGUCUAUUGAGAAAGUUGAAUCAAACACACUUUAAAUUAGCAUAAUUGAAAGGUUUUGUACUAAAUUGGCAUAAGUGUAUUAAGUUUAUGACUUUUUUUUUAUACAUUUUCUGAAUUUAGAUGCAUGUAUUGUGUGGUUCACGAUAAAUUGUGGAAUGGUUCUUCCAUGUGCUAAUUACAAAGUAAAUUCAUUCGGUGAAACAAUGAAUAGAUGAUUGAAGCACAUUAGAUUAGGGGUUGUUUGGUAACAUGUCAAACAGUAUCCGAUUCUUAUUUUUUGUUCCCGGGAGUAGUUUUGGAACAUAACCGCGUUUCGUAAAAUUUUUGUUCUCGAGAACAGAUUUGGAGUGGAAUCAAGAAUAAAAAAAAGUUGAUUCUUGUUCCAGGAACAAAUUUGAGAAUCAAAACCAACUCUUCUUUUUCUUUUUCUUCUUCCCUUUCACCAUCUCGUGACUGCCGUUCGUCGCUGUCCGCCGCUGUUCGUCAGUUUGGCGAGGCUUGCCUUGCCGGUGGCUAGGCGGGCCUCGCCCAGCCCUGCCGGUGGCCAGGCGGGCCUCACCCAACCCCGGCGAGACCCGUCUGGCCACCGGUGAGGUUGAGCCUCGCCGGAGUUGGGCAAGCCUCGCAUUGCCUAACCUCGCUGGUGGCCAGGUAGGCCUCGCUCAGCCGACGAGGGUCGGCCUCGCUCAGCCGACGAGGGUCGGCCUCGUCGAGGGCUGGCGACGCUCUGGUGAGGUCGCCGGCCCUCGUCUAGUCGGUUGCCGAUUUGGCAACCGGCCACAAGAAGAAGAAGAAGAAGAAGAAUAGGAGAAAAAGGAAAAAAAUAAAAGAAAAAAAAGUAAAAGAUUUAUUUAAAAAUUAAAAGAAAUUGAUUUGGAACAGGAUUAAUGAGCACGGUACCAAACGCAAUUCUAUUACAGAAUAAGAAAUUUUGGACAGUUACUAAACGGCUUAAAAUGCUUAGAAUAUGUUCCCAAGAACAAAAUAAAAAAGAAUUAUUUCUAAUCAGAAUCUACUUUCAGGAAUAGAAUCAUUACCAAACACGCCCUAGAUGAUUAUUAAAGUACACUUUAGGAUGGAUUUAGGCAGGGACAAAUCCAAAAAUCUUUUCGGGGGGUUGGGGGGACUUCACACUUGAUGAUAUCUUUGAUGAUAUCUUUUUAAAAAUCCUAUUGGCAAAUUGAAAGAGUUAAUUAUAUAUUUUUAUUAAUCUAGAUAAAUACUUUAGGGCCUUUUGUAUUUAAAAAGAUGGGUUUUAUGUGCAAUAACAAAUAAAAUUUGUUUGUAAACUAAUUAUUUCUUGAGAGCUACGGUUGACUAAAAUGAUUCCUAACAAAAAUUAAGGAAAAAAGAAUUGAGCAAAAGUAGCUUCUCUUGCAGAAGAUUUUCGGUACUCUUUGAGUGGCCGGUGGGGUGGGUGGGGGAAUGAAAUAUUCAAAAGCGUAGAAUAUAUUAGCAGGUCAUAUAAAAGUAAAUGGUUAAUAUUAUGAAAAACUUAGUAUAUUUAUGAUAAAUUUAUUCUAAACUAAUUUUUUGACUAUCAAAAAAUCUAAAUUGAUACAUUUGUGAUAAAUUUACUUUCUAUUAACUUCUGUCAAAUUUUAUCUUUGAAGUUGUUGACAUGAAUGACACAUGACAUGGCAAGUUCACGUGAAAAUCUAUAGGGUUAAGACCACUAAAAAUCCCAAAUUUUUCAGAGAUGUAUCGUUAAAUUUAUCACAUGAGUACCAUUAAAUUUGUCACAAGUGUGCAAAUUUGAGAUUUUUCGUGAUAAUCACCCUAUGGAUUUCUAGGUGGACUUGCCACGUCAUCAUGUGUCAUUUGGGUCUGCAAGUUUAACGAUAAAAUUUGACGAAAACUAAGGAUAAAUUUGUUACAAAAUUACCAGUUUGAGGUUAUUGGUGGUUAAAAUUUAGGCCGGAUAAAUUUGUUACACGUGUAUCAAUUUUGGCUAAAUUUGUCAGAGGUAUAUCAGUAAAGAGUUUUUGGUAGUAUUAACUCAAAAGUGAAUGGGGGCAAUUGCCCUCGCAUCACAUAGCAUGGAUCCGCCUAGAGUUUAGGUCUUGUUUGGUUCCAUGUGGGAUAUGAUUAUAUACAAGGAUCAUCAUCUUGGGAAGGAGUUUAAAUUUAGAAUCACACUACUUGUAGAAUUAGAUUCCUUGGAAGAUGUGGAAGCGGAUCUUCCUAUGUUACCUUGUAUUGAGUUUCCAACUUUUCCAAAUAUCACCACAAAACAAUAAAAAACAAACUCCACCAUAUCCUGUUACAUCUCGCCGCCACCACCAUGGCAUGUCGACGUCGUCUUCACUGCCUCCACAAGUAUCCUCACCACCACCGUCAGCAGCCUCCCUCUUUGCACAACAAGCUAUCUUAGAAUUGUUUUAGCCAUCUAAAUCAUUGCAAAAAGCAAGAUUUCAUAGGAUGUGAUCCUUGCAGUGAGGAUGUACUCGUAGAUUAAAAUUAUGUAUCAUUUUAUGAUUUUGUUGACACCCAAUUAAAGAAAGUUGUAUUUUCAAUGCAUAAUGUGUUUUGUGUUAUAUGUAGUCAGAGCACUUCUUUAAUAACUUUGGUUAACAAUAUUUGGGGCCCUCAUCAACAUGACUCACACUAGGGGUGAUCGGUUCCCGGUUCGGUCCGGUUCCAAGGUGGAACCGGGAGAACCGGUUCCCAAUUUUGGGAACUGUGGACUGGACCGUUUGGUCCUAGGACCGGGAACCGGACCCGACCAUCGGUUCCGGUCCGGUCCGGUCCGGUCCAACAAAUCGGCAUUUUCCUUUUUCACCAAAGAAAAACCAUGCUCCGGACCGAUCAAUCCAAUUUGGUUCCCGGGCGUUCUAAUAAAACUACUCACACAUGUUUCCAUGCGCCAUGUGCAAAAUAUUCACACUUCACUUGCGUCAAUAUCAAUCACAGUUUAUGUGUUUCACGCUUAAUUUUAAGCAUAAAAGCCAUGAACAAUUUGAUUAAAGGUUGUGCUUAGUUUAGGUUUUAUAGACAAUUUCUCUUCUAUGCUUUGAAUGUUUAGUCGAUAUCAAACUCUUUGAGGCUUGAAGUGCCUUGUUGUUUGCAAGUGAGGGGAGCAAGAGAGAGAGUGUGAGCACGAGGAACUCCUAGAGCCUUGUCUCACAUCGAGUAGAAAAUGAAACUAACAAGUAAGUUUUCUCUAUAAAUAAAGAGUAACAACAAAGCUUUGGUGGUCUCUUGGCCACAUAAAAGAUUGUUACCUCAAUUGCAAUUGUAAUUGCAAUAAGUUUCAUAUAUAAUAUUCAUAUAUUAUAUGUGUUUAUAUAUUAUAUGUAUAUAAAUUAUAUAUAAAAAAAAUUGGUCCGAUCCGGUUCCCACCUUGGAACCGGGAACCGAACCGUCGACCAUGGGAACCGCCCAAAACCGGUCGGUCUGGUCCGGUCCUGGUUCAGGCGGUUUCCGUUGCACACCCCUAACUCACACUUCUUUUUAGAAGAUAGUUGUUACAUGGAUCUUUGGUAGGGGUGCGCAUGGUCCGGUGUGAGUCAGUCCAUCCUCAAACCCUAGGACUAACUCGCAUAGUUUUAGUGCUCAAUUUUUGGGACGGAAGACCAAUCCUAUUGGACCACCGAGGACCGGACCAAACCCAUUAACCAAUCCAAUGGGUUCAGUUUAGUUCUAGGGUUAACCCGGGACCAACUGAUAAUUUUUUUGUUUCAUUUUUUGUACUAUCUAAAAAGACAAAUCUACCACUUCAAAUUAUAUAUUCAUUGACAAUGUGGCGUUGUGCAACUAAAUUAUAAAUACCAAUACAUAUUCAAUAAAUUUAAGACAAGGUGGCAAUAGAAAUUUCACACUCGCCAAAAAUAAGAAAUCAUAAGAACGAUUAAAACCGCUCAUAGAGAUAUGAGACAAGAUAGGAAGUUCUUGCAAUCAUUAAUCAAUUAUACUUGUAACACCAUAUGUAAAAGCGUUUAAAUAAUAUAUUAGAUCUAUAAUAUGAUAAUAUAUUUUAGAUAUAUUAUAUAUAAUAUAUACAUUUAGGGUUGAUUUGGGUUAUAUUGACCCUAAACUCCCAAAAUUGAGGACCAACUUGCACAGUGCUGGUCUAGGGAUCUUAAGACCAAGGAUCAACCUAAUCCCUCUAGGAAUUAGACCUAAACCGGCACGGUUGGGCUAGUUUAGGGUCGGUCCAGGGUUAACCUUAGACCGAUGCUCACCCCUAAUCUUUGGAGGGUUCCAAUUGACAAAAACUUAAUGGUUUCAAUUAAAAGUUCAAUGAGGUAAAUAUACUAGAAAUCUUAAGACUUGUAAUAAAAGUGCGAUUAAAUCUUAAAACUUUCAAAAAAUUGUAUCAAGUUCUAAAACUUAUUAUAUUAGUACAAUCAAAUCUUUUUGUUCACUCCAUCCAAUUAGAUUAAUGGAAAAGGCUGAUGUGGCUUUCUUUAUUAUUUCUCUAUUUGACGUAGCUUUUUAAUUUUUUUUCUCUCCUAUAUGACAUUGAACUUACUUAUAGAAGACUAAAGUGAUGUUUUUUUUUUUUUUAUCAAAAUUUUAAUUUUUUAACCAAAGCAUUAAUUAAAUUAAAUUUUUUAAAAAUCUAAUUGUUUUUUUCACAAAAACAAAGAAAAAGGGCCAAGGCCAUGGCCCUGGUCACUUUUUUUUUUGGUAAAGAUGGCCCUGGUCACUUUCGCCCCACCUUCGCUAGAAAGGGUUGGCGAGCCCUUUUUUUAAAAGAAAAAUUAGCUUUUCUUUUAAACUUAAUAUAAUUAAGAUUUUGGUUAAAAAUUAAGAUCUAGUUUUAUGUUUCAUGUUUUAGUAAGGUCAAUAUCACAUAGAAGAGAAAAAUAAUUUUUAAAGCCACAUAGGAGAGAGAAAGUUCUAAAAAAAAACACUUCAACAUUUUUCAUUAACCUAAUUGGACGAAGAUUGCAUUAAUUUAAUAAAUUUUAAGACUUGAUUGUACUUUUUGAAAGUUAUAGGACUUAAUCACACUUUUGUGACAAGUUUUAUGACUUUUAUUGCACUAUCCCAAUGUUAAUCAAAGAUAAUCGAUGGCUAAUUAUAUUGUCUAAUUUGAAUUUGAAUUAAAAUUGGAUGGAAGGAUUAUAAUAGUAAAUCUUCAAAGGAUCUAGUAUUGAAUUGGUUAAAUUGAAAAUUUUACAAUUAAAUUGGCCGACAUAAAAUAUAUACAUAAAUUUUUAGACAACCAUCUUACUUGUCAGGCAUUCCAUCAAUUGGGCAUUGUGAGUUAUGUGUAUCGUCAUGGCCUGUUUUGGGUCACUGAUUUCUUUAAAUUAGGCCCAAAUUAUGAGCAUGGUAUCAACAAUAUCAAAUAAGGACAAUUAAAGAUCACAAUGGAGAUCAUCGAUUGCAAAAUUCCUGGUGAGUAUUAUUGUUCUAAUGGAAAUCUUGGUGUCAAGGAUUUUGUGAAGGUGUUUAAGAGAGGUAAGUCCAUUUUUGGUUAUAUAUCAACAAGUGUGAGAAAGCAAAGCGUCUUAUGGAUCGAAGCAUGAACAACGUUGUGGUGGGGAAGAUUAAGGGAUGAGCAAUAGAGGGAAGAAAGAACAUCACUAACUAUUUGGUCGAAGAUCAAAAGGCUAUCGAAUUAAGAUUGAUUCACCAAAUACUAAUUGGUGGUUAAUUUGAAAAUAUUGAUUUUAGCAUUUCCUUAAAUCCGUCGAAUUUUAAGUAAGUGGUUUCACAAUUUACCCUAUAAAUCGAACUUCACGAGUAAAUUGUCCUACAGUAUAACUCCUCAUUAUCAAUCUUUAGUAAUGAAGACCCAUGAAACAUGUGAUUUUUCUUCAAAAGAAUGUUAAAAUGCAUACGUGAAUUGUGUUAGAGAAGUCUUGUGUUAGAAAAUUAAUAUGGUGUGAAGCAAAUAAUGUAUCAUAGUUAGUCUACAAACUUUUGAUCUACACUUUUGUGUAAAAGUAAGUCUAACUUAAUAUAUUAAUGGGUCCAAAUAUGGCCAUCUAUGAGGUACCGAGUGUAUAAAGCCAAUGUACUUGAAUAAGAUACCUUAGUGUCCACGUCCAAAUUCACUAGAAUAAGACUCAUUUAUUACUCAUAGUCCACAUUCUGACUCAGUUUCCAUCAUGGUGUUCAUAUAUAUAAGAGAAGGACGACCCAACUCUACAUACCAGAUCCCUUCCCUGCGCUCAAGCAGCCGCCUCCACCGUCCCAAAUGAAGCCGACAUCAUCUUCGACAAGAUCGCCGCCACCAUCAUCUUGCUCAGUCCGCCGCCGCCAACCAUUCCCAACCCCUUCUUCCGUAACUCCGCCCACAAUUGAUGGAACUACAGAAUUCAUUAGACCGUUGUCAUAUAUCAGUUUAAGAAUCAAUUCUGUCAGAAAAAUAACAGCGCAAGAGCUAAAAUUGAAUAGUUGUGGUAAUGCAUGUAUCGUUUUCGUAAUUGCCCGAAAGUUUUUAUAUCCUUUCAACUGAAGCUUAACCGACGUUUUUACAAUAUAAAUCAUCGCGUCUUUCUAUAUCUAUAACUAUCGAUUUGUACCUACAUGUACAUCUACACGAAGAGAAUAAAGUCAGACCCAUAACCAGACACAGCUGAUAUUCUAUUUCUUCCACCAUUUGGCAUCACAGUUUUCGAGGAACUUUCAUGGGGCAUUUUCUCUAUGUCUAUUUAAGGCUUGAUUGGCAUUAUACAUGUAAUUAUGAGCCCCUUUAUUUCGCGAGGAUGUAUCAUUUUCUAAAAAUGACCUGAUUUUUUGGUUUUUGACUGAAUCUGAAAAAGAUCCAAAAGUUUUUUCCGUGGUUUGAUAACAAAAAAAUUGAUAGGAAAAAUGAUAAAAAAAAUUCAUUUUUUAAUUUUUUUUAUUUCUAUAUAUUCUUUUACUUUUUUUUUGUCUUUAUUUUUGCUUCUUCCUAGUCGGUUGUCAGCCAAGGCGACUUGCCACGUGAGCUCAAGCCUCGCUAGAUUGGCGAGCUUCGAGCUUGCCACAAGCUGACGACCUUGAGGGCAAGCUCAACCUUGCCAGAUUUGGCGAGGCUCAAGCUCGAAUGUGGCUAGCGGCUGACCAAGGAAAAAACAAAAAUAAAAAAGAAUAUAUACAAAAUAAUUAUUUUUAAAAUAUAAAAAUAAUUAAAAAUUUGAAUUUUUUAAAAAAUAUUUUUGUAAGAAUAAAGUUUUAUUUGUCAAGAAUUUGAGCCUGAUUGCUAAGGACCCACAAUACAGCCUUUGUGGAUUCGAGCUUGAGGGUCAAGACCAAAGCUUGAGCGUCAAGACCCUCAAGCAGGACCUUUAUGGACACAAACUCGGGUGUAUGAGCAUCGAAAAGGGCCUAGGGAUUUGGGCCCGAACUUGAUGGAUUCGGGUGUGGGUGCUGAGGGCCUAGGCUUGAGCACCAAGGUCCUGGGCUUAGCCUUGAUGGUCCCAAGCCUAGUUGUCGGAGACUUGAUUUUGAAUGCCAAGAACCGAGAACUAAUGUUGGGGUUUUAGGGUUCAAGUGCCAAUACCUAGUCAUAUUUUGGAAAAUGUUUUCCAGUUCUUUCAAAAAUGAAAUUAUUUUCCUGAAUUUAAGUUUUGAUAGGAAAAUAUUUUCUGUUGACUCAUUUUCCUAAGUAAACCAAAUGCUGAAAAGUGAGAAAAAUGUUUUGCAUAAAAUGAAUGGACCCAAAAUCACUUUCUUUUAACAUUUCAUUGAAUUAAUCACUAUUGAUAGCAAGCUUACAGGGACUCAAGUUUGAAUGUAGAGAAAAGAUAUAACAUCAAUCGACGUGAAAGUAGGGCUUUUAUUGUUUAUGCCACAAAUCUAAUGUUAAAGAGGCGUGCGCUCAGACAAGAAUUCUUUGUACAUCAUGCACCCAUCCUUUUCCUCCCCAUUUGAAAUAUGAAGAAGUUAAAUACAACAUUAAGUUUACAUAAUGAUCAUCAUAAUCAUUAAUCAUGAAGAUCUCAUUACGAGUUGAGAUAAUUAGUGACUAUGAUGGUAUUGAUAUACAUAGAUCGAAUCUAUGAAAUAUUUCUCUUGAAAUUCGUGAGAUGUCGCAAUAAAGUUGCACGAGACUAAUUUCAGGCAUUUCUAUCUCCUCUCCCUCUUUUCAUGUCACCGAUUGGUGGGCUAAUGCUUUGACAGCUUUUUCAUAAUUUCUUUUUCCCAGUGUGCCUGUCCUGAUGUCUUAACUAGGCUGACUUGUGUCGAAUAACAUUAUUUAUUCUUAGCAGUACUUACUCUUUGCAUCUCUUUGCAGCUUUUGCACAAUACUAACCAAAAGUUGGAACUAGUCCGUCCAAAUCUUCGCAUUUGCUCCUUUUGCCCCAUUGAAGAAACGGGUUACGAGAGGUUAUGGACUCGCUUUUUAUGUGGUUUCACUUUCGAUGCGAGGAUGAUACGAAACACUAGGAUAUGAAGGAGAUGAAUAAGUUAAAAAGGAUCUGAUGCAGAGAUCUUUACAUGACUUUCACUUUAUUCUGUCAAUCCUUUCAAUUUGCGUCUUUUCUUUACCAUCCUUGAAUUUUUUAAUGAGACGAUAAUACCUAAUUGGAGGAACUCUGAUUGGUCAGUUUUUUUUUUUGAAAUUUUAUAUUUAGGUUGGGUGUUACAUUCAUCCUCCAUAGGACUUUAUCUGGCUUCAUCCUCAACAGAGCCUAUCUGGCUUCGCUUGGCCCCACCGAUGAUGAUGAAGCUUAAGAUCGACUGGCUUGAUCGUUGUCAAUAAAACCAAUUGAAUAAUGUGGAAAAUAGAUUUGAGAGUUUUCUUUUUGUAUGUUUCUAUAUAUUUUGAUAAAUAAUGCAUGGACCUAUUUAUUGGCUUUACUGAUGAACGUUUGAUCUAAUAAGAUAAACAUAGUUUCAAUUAUAAUCAAUCAGGGAUAGGCACAAUCAAAGAAUUUAUAUGCAUAAAAUGGAGAAUAUCCUCAUCGUAUUGCCAAUAGCCCCUCCCCCCUUCAAGCUUAAGGUCACUUCAAAAAAGUCAAACAGAGUUUGAAAUCAAGUCAAACAAUGCCAUAAAAAUUUGUUCCUCCACCAAAUAGGUGAGUGGAAGAGUUGAUAUGGAGAAACUUCAAAAAUGGAUGCACCAUGUCGAAAUACACUAAGAACCAAUCCAAUUGCCAAGAGUUGAUCAAAAAGUGCUUGAAUCGGUUGAAAAAAAUGCUCUAAAAACCGGUCGGACCAGUCAAACUGAACCGGUCAAUGGUCCGUGUGCUUGCGUGUGGGAAGUGUGAAGUUUAUUUCCGGUAACUAAAACUUCAAGCUAUGACUCGUUUAAGGGUCAUGAGUCUAGUGAUGGUAUUGGUUUCUCGAAACGAAUAGUGAAAAAAUUAAACAUAAUACCAACUAUACUCAAAUGUAUAAUUUUGAAAAAUACAAAGAAUAAAUAAAUAUAUAGAGAGAAAGUUAUUAGGGUUUUCUUAGUAAUUUAAUUAUUUUUAGGUUAAGCCCACAUAUACUCAAUGGAAAGGCAUGUUAACCCUGCUAACAUCCUACCUUCCAAGAGUGUUGCCACCUACGAGGGCUACCGGCAGUAGUCUUGGAAAUGCAGAGCUUUGUUAAGUUGUAUUCCUUAUUUUAAUGUCUUGGUAUCUAGAUGCCUCACAACCCAAAUUCCCACCCAGAGUUUUUCUUUCCUAACGAGUGGGAAUACAAAAGACAAUAAGGAGUUCUACUCCUAAGAGAUUUGCUCUUCCAUUUCUUCCUUGAGCCUUUUAAAGACCUAUUCAAGGAGCCUUUUAAAGACCUAUUCAAGUCUAUCGUUAAACGAACAUAUACUUGAUAGAAAGACACGUUAAAAACCUUUUUCCCAAUUUUUUCUCUACCACAGCUAGCUCCAGUUUCCUUGCACCGUCCCACAACAUUAACGAGCCUGAGCCAAACUCUUCCCGGGCCCAAACCCCAUUUGUCAAAAACAAUAAUAAUUGUCCCCACGAAACCUUAGUGGAAAAACUCAGUCUGCAUAUAUUAUUGUCCCCUCUCCUACAAACGCACAACUUGGGUACGUCACCACCAACGGAUAUAUAUCCUCCUUUAAAUUCCAACCCUCCACUCGCCCACCCAAAAAGGACGAUCGGAAUUCCCCUCUCUUUCUUUCCAAUCGAUCCAUCCACCACUCCAUAUCCCCGCAGUACACGAGAAGACAUGGCUGAAGAGUGCGCCGAGAGCUCCGUCGCCAUCGACGUCACGGCCGUGCAGCCGGGCAGCUGGUGGCAAGAUCCCCAUGGUAGCUCUAUAUCUCCUCCUCCUGCAUGGAUUAACGGUAGCAGCCACAACCCGUGGGGCCACCAUCACAACCAAAACCCUAGCUCCAACGAUUCUCCCUGCGAUGAAGCCGUCUCGAUCUCGUCCUCAGCAUAUACCAACACAUCGAUCCACUCAGGACUGACAGUCGAGUCCUCUGGCCGGCUUCUUGAGUCGACUUCCUCGCCGAACGAGUUGAUCGGGGAGCAUCUUUCUGACCAUCAUCUCUGGAACCACGUGCUGCUGUAAGUCCAUGCGCAUAAUUGUGUACCGAUAUGGCUAUUUGAUUUGGCAAAUGUUUUCUAUGACCACUCCUUUACUGAUGAACAUGGUAGAAGGAUGACGGCCGAGCAGUCUAACGUCCGGUUAGCAUGCAGCAAUUCUCAUGUUCAAGUCAUAACGCUUGUUACUUAAAAGAGUUAUUUCGGGUUCGGGUUCAUCAUCUAAUGACGACGGGCUUUACCUGAUGUACGAGAACAAGACGGUUUGAGUAAAUCUUGGAUACCCGUAUUGAAAAUAUCAUAUAUGACUAUAGUAGGACCAACUGGGUUGAUGUGCAUCUAAUCGGUAUCGGUGGAAAAAGAAGGAACUUUUAAGAGAAUAAUUGGACAAUAGGGUGAUUGUGGUGGUAGGUGUGGAAUUGGGGUAUCGAAAGACUGGUAUUAUUUAUUGUUAGGGCAAGAGAGUCUCGCUAGAAUAGAAGGAUAUAAAACUUGAAAUCUUCGGGUGAUCACUGCGACUAAUCUGAUCUCUAAAGAGAGUUGAGACUCUCAUAAAUUAGCAUACAUACUAUGCUUAAUAUGUGUAAAUUCUGCAACCAUAUAGAUUAAGAUUGCAAACGACACUCAAUGAGAUGAUUUUUGCACACAAAAUAAUGCUAAAAAUAUUUCACACCUUUCUUUCCUCUUCUUCUUCUUCUUCUUUUUUUUUUUGGCCGGGUUGGGAGGGGGUGUGAGGAUAUAUUAUUGCACGUCGUAUUGACAUUUCUUGCCAUUAUCUUUCUUUUAUUUUUCUCCAUUGACUUGCUAGCUAGGACUAUCUUUCAUUCCUUUACAUUAGCCUUGUGUGGAAGCAAGAUGAAACAUAUGCAAUCAACAACUCGAUAGACUUGUGUCGGAGCAAUAUCCUCUCAACUUUCUAACUUUCUCCCCUUAAUAUAAGCUGUCAAGGUAGAGUUGUAUUUUCCAUGCUAGUUCUUUUAUCAAGUAUCUUUCUUUGCCAAACCCAUGCAGAAGUGUGUCUCUUUCAUUUCACUUUCUUGGACCAUUUUCUUUAUUUUUCUUAGAAUACACAUAUAUUUACUUCCAUAUAUAUGUCUAUCUAUCUAUUUGCGUAGAAGUGUCGGAAGCGGCGGAGAUCUACAUAACAACCAGCACGACGUGCCCGAGAACCUCCUUGAUUCUCUUUCCUCCAAGACCUUGUCGAACCUUAAUAGCUUCGAACCACCGAGUGCAACCUCCUCGUGCAACAAUUUCUUGAAGAAGUUAGGCAACAUUUGGGACUUCCCAAACGCCAGUCUCAGCGGGUCAACCUUCAUGCAAGGCCAGAGGUUUAGCUCGAAUAAUAAGCUGUCCAACUCGGUCAGCGACUGGUCGAUUGCGCCUCCCGACCCAGAAGUCAACCUCCCCUUCGACUCGAGCCCCAUGUCAUUGGGCUCCUCUUCUACGUGUCAAGCUCUGUGCGGGUCGCCGAUCCCACGCACUCAAUAUGGCAGCGAACUCGAAGCAUCAGUUGGAACAGCACUGUUCAGGAGAUCGCCAAGCGUUUACAGUAGCAACAAUAUUCUUGGAGAAGGGUUUGGGCCGACGAACACGUCGAUGAUGGCAGAUAAUGGUAGAUACUACAGCGGGGUGACCGGUUCCUUGUGCAGAGGCUUCGAUGACGAUAAUACAUCACCGUCUUUUAGCAGCAGAAUAGGGAGGCGCUUCAAGACGUUGAAUUUAUCUGACUGUAAGAUCAAGCCUGUGUCAUCUCCCCCGGUAAGUAAGCAAGCGGGAGAGAUUAAGUAAAUUACGUUUUACCGGUGGGGCAUGUUCAUUUAUUUUUGUCUUUUCCAUAGGUAUGGAGUUCGUUUCUUGAUUUGGGUAUGAUAAACAGUUAUUCCACCAUGAACUGAGUGAUAUAAACCACUAUAAUGUGUCGGUUUCAUGUGAAAUUCAACCGAUCUAACAGCUCAGAUUACUUGAUACUACAUCUAAGUACAAUCAUGGUACCUAAGCCAUUUACCAUAAAUAGGAACCUGUCACACAUGUUUGGUGGAUUUACUCUGAACGAGAGCUUUUACUUUAUCUUGUUUGGUGUGAUUUUUUCAUUCCUGUGAACAAAAGCUUAUUGCCAUAAUGAUCUUUUCCAACAUGUAGGUGAAGGCCAGCAUGAGAGGACCGGGGAACACAAGUGAGGGCAAAAAGAAAAGAUCAGAAGACAGUUCGGAGGCCGUCGCCAAGAAACCCAAGCACGAGAGCUCAGCAGUUUCAUCUUCCAAGGUACUAAUCACACAUUAUUUCCUUUUCUUCCUAUUUUUCUCAAACCUUAAUACGUAUAACAUACGUACACACACACGCGCGCGCACAUAUUAUACUCGCUACGAAGUGUCAUUACAUUUUUCUUGGGCACAGUAAAUUAAUCAUUUGGAAUUAAUAAUAAAAUUAUUAAAUAUUGCUGUUAUUAUUGUUGUUUCUGCAAAAGAUGCAGGUAACCAAAGUCAAGCUUGGGGACAGGAUUACAGCCCUUCAGCAAAUUGUGUCGCCGUUCGGAAAGGUCUGGGUUUAUUUUAUUUAUUGAAAAGAAAAAAGAAGGCCACUAACCCGAUGCUUUUUCUUCCUUUUAUGUUCCACAAUUUAAUUCAGUAUUUUAAUUCGGCCCCUUUCUAACAACUACUUUCAAUUUAUACUCAGACCGACACUGCAUCGGUUCUAAUGGAAGCGAUCGGGUACAUAAAGUUCCUCCAAGAGCAAGUGCGGGUAAUAUGUUCUCCAAAGUCAUGAUCACGACUUGGUACUUCAAUAAUGAGAGGAUAAGCAAGAAAAAAGGGCUACAUAUAUAUACGUCAGCAUGCCAAUUAUUGACGAAAUAAUUUUAAAAUAUAAUAGUAAGCUAAUCAGCGAAUCGCAUUAUGAAUGUGGAAAGUGAACAUAUAUAUUUUUUCUGUGAGGAUGGACCAAAUUUAUUAUAUCUAAUAGAAAUUAUGCACCUUCUAGUUUUCUUUAAAUGGUAAGUGAGCACUUGCCAUUUCAUAAUUCCUCAAUCAAGUCAAAAAUAGAUUGUUAUACUGCGAUGACAUGACUGAUAGGUAUUAAGAAAACUCGUUCGGUUUUGAUGAGGUAUUUAAAGUCAAUCACCAUACGAGAGUCAUGAACAAUUCAUAUUCUUAAGUAGGAUAUAACCAGUACAAAUUAUCCAUUAGUAUUUGAUCUUCUAGAGUAAGUUUAGGCCACUUGUUUGCCCAUCAUAUCAAAUAACAAAUCGAGAGUGAUUAUUAGCGUUGUUAAUAGUGUCAACCCCUUCCCUUUGCAGCUACUAGUGAGCAACCCCUAUUUGAAGACGAAUCCCCACAAGGUGAAUAAAGUCCAUAUGCUUCUCUAGUAACUCUGUUUGUGAAACAUUAUGUGAUAUGGACUUACAUGCUUCGCACCUGCCAUUUUAGUGAUGAAACCCUAAAUAUUUGCAGGAUCCAUGGGGAGCGUUGGAUAGGAAAGAGAUGGGAGAUUUUAGGGUCGAUCUCAAAAGCAGAGGGCUUUGCUUAGUCCCGGUCUCGUGCACACCUCAAGUCUACCGUGAGAACACGGGGUCCGACUACUGGACGCCGCCAUAUCGAGGGGUUCUAUAUAGGUGAAAGAGUCUCGCAUGCAUAUAGAAUAACAGCUUUGAAUUAGUCGAUUCCUUAGAGGACAUAUGCAAUCAAUAAGCUCACUAUGUACUUUGUUAUCAAAUUGGACACAGGAGUGAUGGUAACUUUGAAACUCAAGCUCUGAGUAGUUAAUUGUGGCAACGUUGUAGUAGGUAUUGGCUUGUUUUCACCCUCUGACCUAACUCUCUUGUACAAUAAAAAGUUGGAGGCAGUAAACCAACUUCCAUAUUUUACAAAUAUAUUUCAUCUCUAGUCACCUUGAGUUGGAAUCUUGAGAUUGCAAAUACAGCCUUCAUAUAUGACUAUUAUAUAAUAACUAUUUACGCGAUUUACUUUGAAUUCUAUGGCCUAAUAAUAUGAUGUCGGGUAUUAAGUCAUAAGCUAAAUGCUGCUAUUGAAGUUAUGUACAUGCCAAAUUUAAUACCGAUAUGACGUCGAGAAUAGCUCCGGAUGAAAAUAAAUCAAACUUCGAAAUGAACUUCUUGUGUACUUAACUCAUCAAACUUUCAUUUUUUUUUUCCAUUAAAAAUUGUGCUUCAUUAUAAUGGGUCAUAAAGAAAAAAAUUAACUGGUUUUUUUCUAACCACUCUAGGAGGUGUACAAAAGAUGCCAUGCAUCACAUGUUAAAAUGGCCGAUAAUUUGAACAAGAUUCGGUAACGAAGCAACAACAGGAGAAAAGCCAAUCGUCGCCAGCCCUAGGGAUGAUGGAAAGAAUGAUCCCCCAAUUGCUCAAUGGCAUUCAAGGUGGCCACUCAGGUUGUCCCGUUUCAGUGCUCUUUUUUAUGGGGGAGCUUCUGGUUGUAAAAUGAACGGUUUUCUAGAAGCGGGGAUGACGCAGAAGGGGGGACGAUUGCAACGAGACAAAAGGGUCAAAAGGAGACUCGAGCCGUGAAGUGAAUGAAGUUGCCGAGUCUAGUGGGUGGGGCUCAGGGAGGGCACGCAGAGAGAUGCUGCUCUCUCCUUCCUCCCCCUCUCACUCUCUCUCUAAUUAUAAGAAAGAAGGGAGACUCGCUUUGAAUUCUCCUCGAGAAAUGAUGAGGAGCUAGUGGGGGAGACUAACGCUUUUUACCUCCCAGUGAAAAAACCUUCACGACUCUCUGCAUCGCGAAGUGCUUAAGUUCAGCCCCGACCACACGAACGAAAGAGAUUGCAGCCCUAGUCUCUCUCUCUCUCUCUCUCUCUCUCUCUCUCUCUCUCUGUACUUUUUUCCUUUUUUCUAUGUGGAAUAUGGUCGUGAACUGUCAUUAGCACUCACUGGGUAUGACCAAGAAACCCCAACCACAUUGCAGGCAAACAACAUGGAGGCCUGUGCUGAGGUCUAGUGUGGGUUGUGCCAUUUCUAGAAGUUAAUGACUUUGAUUAAGAGGUUGACUUUAAACAAUCAUGUCCCGACCCCAUAUAUUUUGAAUUUUGAAUGCAAAGCCACUUAAGAGCUUGCUUUGACAGAGUACGAUUCAACUUAACCUUCUAUAUCGAUCUAUUGUGGAGCUACAACGAUUGAAUGAUACUCCUUGUAUUUUGUAAAAACCUUGUUUGUGUACCUUGAACCAUGUGUUUGGAUUUGAAGUAAUAUGCCCAUUGGUUGGUUUAUUCCAAGAAAAAAAAAUCCGAUGAGAUGACGAUAUCUUGUGCACACCUGAUAAAUGUGGUUAGAUAAAUGUGGUUAGAGAGGAGUUAGAGAGAUGAGUAAAAUACAAAAGAAAAUAAGAAGGCCCAUAUAUCGAUGACUGAAUAUUAUGAAGAAUCGAAUUCGGUAUACCUCUAUCUAGAUCUAAUACUAAUGUAAGGGAGAGGAGAUUGUUCAUAACCAGACUUAUGCGCCAUAAUGUGAUGGCUGAUAUAAAAGUGGGUAGUUACAAUACCACCAAAUCAAUGGUGGAGAGAGCAACUUGUACUUUUUCUUCUAUUAGUAAAGCAUCCAAUGAAAACCUUAAUUUUUUUUUUCAUUAAAAAGUAAAAUGUCUUAAGGUGACAAAAUGUACUACGUUGUUGAGCAACUGAUUUUAUUUUAUAUUAUUUUUCCUUUGACUGGAAAAGAUUGCUUUAUUCUCCAUCAAAACGUGAUAAUUUCAUGUGACCUAAAAUUAACUGAUAGUUUAGUAUUUUCUUACAAUGGUAUGCCAUGUCAGACGCCAUUUUGGCAUUUAAAGGACCACUUACCAGCGAUACCAAUAAUGGAUAUUUUUAUGCAAAAAAUCACGUUCAAGGGUCCUCAUCACAUAUUCUAAAGUUCAAGGAAUUUUUUUACCAACGGUUGGUUUUUUUUUUUUUUUAAUGGAAUCGGGCCUUGAGAAUUAAGUAAACAAACAAAAAAUGAAAACAUGUGCAUAAAUGGUCCCUUUUAUCUAUUUUGGCUGCGUUUGUUUUCGUUUCUUUUUUUUGUUUUUAAACAACUUUUUUGUUCCCAGAAACACAUCUACAUUUGAAACAGAAACAGGAAAUAAAAAAAAAGUUGUUUCUUGUUUCUGGAACAAAAUUUAGAAACACUUUCUUUUCUUCUUCUUUUUCUUCUCUCUUUUUUCUUUCUUUUUUCUUUGGCCGAUCGUCGGCCUCAGCUAGGGUCGGCGACUAGCCGUCGAGGGCCGGCAACUUUGUCGGAGCGUCGCCGGCCCCCGGCGAGUCUGACCUCGUGCCGAGCUCGCCUAGCUAAGGCGAGGCCAAGCCUCGCCCAGCUAUGGCAAGGCUCGGCCUCGUUGGGGGCCAGCGACUGACCAAAAGAAGAAAAAAGAAAAAAGGAAAAAGAAAAAAGAAAAAAAGGAAAAAAAAAAGAAAAUAAGAAAAAUAAGAAAGAAAAUAGAAAAAAUAAAAAAAUUAUACAAAUUUAUCAAACGUGUUUCUGUUCAAUUUUUAUUCCCAAAACAAGUUUACCAAAUACGUUUUUUUGUUCAAAAAUUGUUCUCCGGAACAUAAACACUUUUUUCUAUUUCUGUUUUCUAGAACAAUUUUUAAACAGAAAUGUUACCAAACGCGUCUUUCUUCACUCUUUUUGGUUGCCCAAACAAGAAGAAAUAUUUUAUUCUCCCUUCAUUUCUCUUAGGGUCGGACUAAAGAGAGAAUCCAAAGCCCAAUCCAGGGCCUAUGGUUAGAGUCUUUUAGAUUCCAGAGAUGUCUAAUUGGGCCAGAAAUGGAGAAGGCCAAAGCCCAAUUUUCAAUUGGGCUUUAGUCUCGUAUUAAGUUGGCCUCUCGUUGUAUCUAAAGUUAUUCAUCUCGUAUUUGGUCAAAUGGUAUAGUUGACCGUUUAAUGAACCAGAACAAGUGUGAAUUCUGAGCGCUACUCUCUCUUUCCCCUAAUCACCUUCAAUAUAAUUUUUUUUUCUCCCUUUUCACCAUAACAUUUCCUCAAUUGCUUAGGCCAGUUAAGAACUUUUACUCUGUAUUCAAAUUUAUCCGCUCACAUAUAAUCAAAUUUCAAAUACCUAAAAGCUUUCAAAAUCGACAAAUAUUUGUAUGAUAAGGCACCUAAUAAAAUUUGCUUCACAUAUAACCCUUAGUUUAGGCAAGAAAGACGGCUUUAUAUAAUUUGAUGUUUAAUAAGCGAGAUUUUUCAAAAUAAAUCAAAGUUGACCUAAACAUUGUGAUAUAAAUAUUUUCAUAACUUAUUUAAAAUUUAGUUCAUAAUUUCUAAGGGCGCGAAUGAUAAUCAUUUUGAUAAGAAAUUGAUUUUCAAAAUAUAAAUAGAUUUUUCUAUUCCUAUUCCCGAAUGAGUUUCUAAGCAAAAAUACGUGUUUGAUAACGACGCAAAAUUUCUGUUUUCGAAAUAGAAUUAAAUUUCUUUAUCUUGAAAGGGGGGCAGCGGAGGCAUUGGCUAGUGGCAACCGAUGGUGGUAGAUGAUGAGCAGAAGAUAGUGGGUGGAUGGGCAACUAGUAUUACGGAUGAGUAGUAAGAAGAGUUUUAAUAAUUUCAUUUAUGUUCGAAAAAUAAAGAAGUGAAAAGUUUUUACUUAUCAUUUUUGUUCUAGAUCUAUUUUAAGAUUAAAAUUUUGUUGCAAAAAUUAAUAAUAAUAAAAAGAUUGUAUCAUCAAAAAAAUUCUAUUCUAGAAAUAAAGAAUGGAAAUAGGACGAUUAUUCCUGCCGUUAUUCAAGCAAAAUCAAGGAAGGCUCGGUAUUUCUCUAUUUUUCUUUUUUUUAAAUCCGUCUAUUUCUGCUAAAGAUUCGACAACAAGAAAAAAAGAUGAAAAACGAGAAUAAUGCUUUCGUAGACCCGGGCAGGUCCCAUUCGUCUUGGAAGCCCCCCCUUUUUCGUUCCGACCGACCUUGCUAUAAAAUCCCUUUGGUCUCCGGACGAAUGGCGUCCCUUCCUUCUCCUCGGCGACAUUGAAAUCCCCUCCUCUCCCCUCCCAGUCCCAGUCUAGGGUUUUCUCGCGGCACCGCCUUCCUCCGCCGCCGGUCGCCGUCGCCGGGAGAUCGGCCAUGCGACGGAGAUGAAGCGCGCACUGGACGAGCUCACGGAGGAGGACUGGGGCGACCUGUCCAGCUCCUUCAAGCCCUCUCGCGCCCUCAGGAGGCCCCCGUCGCCCCCGCCGCCCCCCAUCGAGUCCUUCGCCUUCCGCCGCGGCAAAUCGGGCCGGCCCCGCUCCCCGAGCACUUCCGGCCGAGGAAUCGGCGAUCCCGUCGAGGCCGGCGGCGGCUCCGAUGACUUGGAGGACGACGAUGCCGAGCUGGCCGGCCCCGUCGCGCCGGCGCCGGCGAGCCGUGGCCGCCGGUUUGUAGUCGACGACGACGACGAUGAGGAGGAGGAGGAGGAGGCGGGAACGGGUAGUAAGGUGGAGAGCGAUGGGGAUUUGGUCGAUGUCUACGAUAUAAGCUCUGCAGAGGACGAGAAGGAGGAGGAGGUUGAGGGGGAGGGACUGGGGGCGGAAGAGGAUGAGGUGGAGGAUGAUGAUGUGGUGGGGAAGGCUCUGCAGAAAUGCGCCAAAAUUUCUACGGAUUUGAAGAAGGCGCUUUAUGGCUCUUCCGUCGCUUCAUGCGAGCACUACUCCGAAGUGGAAGCUUCCUCUAAUCGGAUUGUCACUCAGGUUCUCUUUGCAUUUUUCCUUUCCAUCCUAUGAAUUAAGUUUAGGACUUUUGGUUGCUCGGCAUUUUCGCUCCUUACUAGUGUUUGCCCAAGGUUGGAGUUUUACGAUGUGAUGGAAGCUUGGGGGACGAGGAUACUGUCAGUGUCGAUUAAGUUGGUUUCUAAAUUUGUUUUGGUUUUUGGCGGGGCUAAUGUGGUUUUGUAGCUGUGGGCGGAAGCAAUUGUUUAAGUGACUUAAAGAACCUUGGUUUAUGAUUAGGUGAAAUCUAGGAUUUUUCUGGGCUGUGUUGAACCUUCUUUUUCUUCUUCCUUUUUCACUUCUAGACGUGCUUGUUACGUUGGGAACCUGUAUCUUUUAUAUAUAUUAUCAGCCGUUAUUGUGCUGGGCCAGUGAUUAAAUAGUUUAUGGAGCUCUGUAGUAGCCUGGAUUGGUCGUUAAUGAGUAGAAUCUGCUGAAACUUAAUUCAAUUAUUCCUUGAAAUUACUUGUUCACAAUCUGCUGUCCUUGAAACUGUGACUCGAGCCAAUUUUUUAGAUUUUCGUGCCGAGUUAUCUUUUGAAGCUGCGUUGUAUGAGCCGUGCAUCAACUAAGAUUGUGCUUCUUCUUAGAAUUACCUAACCAGAAAACUUGAUGCUAUAACAACACAGAGAACUUUUUGUAGUCUAGGAGCAACUAAGUUCACUUCUUCUAGAUCUUGUGUACAGAGAGUUAAUUUCUCUCAUGAGUAGUAGAUGACCAAGCACGAAACCUUUACAUUAAUAUGGGUCUGAAAGUUGUUUUCAAUUCGUAGUCCUUUUCCUUUAGCCUUGCAUUAUGCAUAGAGAGAUGAUGGGAUACUCUGGUUCAGUCGAUUGAUGUCAUGUGGAUGAAUUACAAAGGUUGAUAUGGUUGGGUUUCCUUAAAAAUUGUCAUUCCAUUAUUUAAUUGUGGUUUUCAAUUAUCUGCAGUAACGGUCCUUUGGGAACCUGAGAAUAUAGACAUAUUUUGAGCACGUCUGUUCAUCGAGUUUCCCUUUGACAUUGACUUUGCAGGAUGAUGUUGAUGCAGCAUGUGGUGCUGAUGAUACAGAUUUUCAGCCUGUUCUGAAGCCUUAUCAGCUUGUUGGUGUCAACUUUCUUCUUUUGUUGCAUCGGAAGGGCGUAGGAGGAGGUAAUGUGAAUCUUUUCAACCUUCUUUCUAGAUGCCACAGGUGGUUUCAUUUAGGACCUAAACCAAAUGAAUACUUGUUUUUAAUUUAACUAUCGUCGAGAACUUAGCUCACGUUUCUAAUAUGCUUUAUAUUCCUACUCUAUUUGUUAGACUAGAAACAGCCACAAGAAAAGCUUUCUGUCUAGCAGAGCAGCAAAUUAUUUCUCUUUAUUUGCUUGAUGAGAUGGGGAAAGGGGACAAUGAGACUCGCAUUAAGAUCAAGUGCCUGGAAUGGAGUGGCACUACCAACCCUAUCUCCAUGGCCUGUUAACUUUUGAUUCUCGUGACUUCUGUGGUCUUUGAUUGUGCUUCUGGACAUGCUGCCUAAUACUGCUGUUUGUUUGUGGGAACGAGUAGGCAGAAAACAAUAUUCCACGUGCUAAGUUUAGAAUAUUAACUGUCUGGUAACUUGAAAGAAUGAGUGAUGUUCCUAGACAUGGCUGAGAAAAGAGUUAUGACAUUAUUGCCAUUUUGUUCUAGAGAGUUUCCUCUUUUUAUUCUCACAUUGAAAAUUCAGAUAUAGUUCUGCAAUUUCUCCGAGAAAAUAAGAUUAAUGAAAAUGAUGAAAAAUGCUCAGUUGAAAAGUUUCACUAUGGUAAUUCCACGAGCUUGUGGGUUCUGGUUGAAGUUGUCAUAUCAGUUAUUUAUUUUAUAACAGGAGAUUGCUACUUGACAGCAUCACUAGUUUCUGUGGAAGAGUGAUACCUUUUAAAUUUUAGAGAACCCACUUGCUUUUAGGUGGGCAGGAUUGUUUAAAAGUAUUAUUUGUCCUUUGAGGAUGUUGACAGAAAAGAUUUAGAGAGUGGUAAUUAUAGAUCUUGUCAAUGCAUUUGGGGCAAUCCCCAGAGAAUUUCUUUGGGUGGAUGACUGUGGAGUAGAAAGUGCUAUAGUUGCAACAUCUAGGAUAUACCAUAUGCAUCAUGUUGUUGCUUUAUUAAUUGGAAAUGAAGGGAUGAAUUAGGAAGUCUCUACAGCAGUGUCCUUUGUUUACGUUCAGCAUUAAAACCCUAACAGUUUUCCCUUAGUACUGGAUAGCUUGGUGCUGUCCCUUGAUGUGUGCCUUCAGGGGAGGAUACAUUCAUUGUGGAUGAGAUCAAGCUUGGAGUAUACUUGGAGCUUGAAGCAUGCAGGAACUCUAAAGUUUAAAAUUUUGUGUUCUACUAGGUACCGAGAAGAGCAUAUAAAAUACAACUUUUAUAGAGGGUCUUGUGCAAAUAAAGGGUAUACCACAAAUUUCUUCUAUGAUGUAUAAAGAUAUUCUUUAAAAAGUAAUAGACGACAAAAACUCAUUGUUUAGAAAAGAUGAGGAUGCUUGGAUGUCUAAGUGAGAAGGAUGACACAGAUGAUGCAUCAACUUACAAUUAAAUCCUAUUUGGUUUCUGAAUACAAAUUUUCUGUGUUCAUUUUCAUUUCAGAGGUUGUGGUUUUCAAACGGAAAUACAUAAACUGGUACAAACAAUGAGUAGCUUCCUCUUGUUGUCAUUGUGUUCAUUCAAAUGAAAUCAAGUGGAUUUGAAUAAACAAAGAAAGAAACUCUUUUAUUUUUAAUUGGAUAUAAUACACUUUUACUUUUCUUUCAUAAAGAGGAUUUUCAUUUUCUCUUAGCAAACAUGUCUUCAACAAAAUGGAUAACCAAGAACAGUUUUCCUUUUCAUUUUCUGUGGAAAAGAAGACUGAAAUGUUCUUUUGACCCAAACGAGCCCUUUUGUUGCUAUAUCCAGGAUGGGGAAACUCUUUUGAGGUGGUAUAUCAUGAAAUGAUGACAUCAAGUUGCUCCAUCAGGAUAAAAAAAAUCCAAGGUGAAAAGAGGAAAGAGAGGCCUAAGGAUGUACCAGUAAAGCUUUAUAGAGGACCUUGAAUAUAGAACUUACUGAUUAAAUGUUGUUUGAUAGAACUAAAUAGUUUGUAUGAUUUAAUGAGGAGAGACUUAUGUAAAAAAGAUGUUCUGUGGGUCAUGGAAAGCAAAUUAAAUAUGCCAUUUGACUAGAAAGAGUGUUUGAGGGAAAAAAAACAUGUUUAGUCAGUUUGCUCAUUACUGAAAUGACCUAUUUAUGAAGGGUUUUUGGCUUUGGUUACUGACUCGUUUUGCGUGAUUCUGGAUAUAUAGAUAUCCAAGAUUACACCAGAAGAAUCAAAACAAAAACAAGUCAAAAGGAACAGCAAUUUAAAAUGAUGUUCUUUUGGAUGUCAAGGCCAAGGAAAAGAGAACAACUUUCUUAAAGGAAACCUCAUUUGUUAUGAGAAGACUAUCUAAUCUGAAAAGGGCCCUUAAAGACUAAUAAUAGACAUAAAGAUCCUUAAAAUCAAAGGAACACUUCUUAGGAAAGUAAAACUAGUACGCCUAGCACUCUUAAAACUUAAGUUAGACCCAAAAGGACUCUAAAACAAAAAACCUACUAUAUUGACUCGAACAGCACGAGAACAAUAAUAUUUGUUAGACAUUUGUCUUAAGUUAAAUAAAGACACAAAGGACUCUAAAACACAAUUAAAAAAUUUACUACAAUAACUCGAGCAACACAAUAACAGUAAUAUUUUGUCUCUUUCUUAAUGCUCCUGACGUCACUUUUAGUACACCAGUUUUGUGUACGUCCUAGGAAAGAGUAGGUCUAAUGAUUGGUAAUGCAGACGGCAUCAUGCUAUUCUCUCUCUAUUUCAUGUUGUCAAUCACUUUUUGAGAGUUUAUUGUGUAUUGUCAGCUUAGUACUUCUUCCCCUUUCUCUGCAGAGGGGCAGGGGGUGCUAAAAUAGAUACAUCCUAGCUAAUGGUGCAUCUUUGUACUCCAUGCAGCCAUCCUAGCGGAUGAGAUGGGUCUUGGGAAGACCAUUCAGGUAAUCACUUUUGUCUCCUUUUUUCCUAAUAGUAUAUUUUGCUAUGCUUUUGCACUAUAUUUGAAGAUUGUGCUACAUUUUUCUUCACAGACUAUUAUAUAACUCCUUUUUUGGCUGCUUUACAGGCCAUAACAUACUUAACAUUGCUGAAACACUUGAAUAAUGAUCCGGGUCCGCACUUGGUUGUAUGCCCGGCUUCUCUCUUGGAGAAUUGGGAAAGGGAACUCAAAAGGUGGUGUCCUUCAUUUUCAGUACUCCAAUAUCAUGGUGCUAACCGGUCAAUCUACUCAAAACAGUUGACCUCACUGUCGAAAGCAGGAUUACCUCCUCCGUUCAAUGUGCUUCUUGUGUGUUACUCUCUUUUUGAACGUCACAGGUUUGAUAUCUUAGUCUUAGGCUGUCUGCUACCCACUUGACAGAUGUCCAUUACUGAUUGUUGAUAAUGAUCACAGCGUUCAGCAGAAAGAUGAUCGCAAAAUUUUUAGACGAUGGCGGUGGAGCUGCGUCUUGAUGGAUGAAGCCCAUGCACUGAAGGAUAAAACCAGUUACAGAUGGAAAAACUUAAUGUCUGUUGCACGAAACGCGAAUCAGCGUCUAAUGUUGACAGGGACACCCCUACAAAACGAUUUACAUGUAUGCUUAAUGAUAAUUUUCUCUUAAUUCAAUUUCCUGAAUUAUAUAUAUGCCUGAAAAGUUAAUAGAUACUUGUUUUAAGUUUCUGUGUCUCUCUGGCUGUUGAUUUCUCUGUGGAAGAACUUCUUGUGAUACAAUUUGAAGCCCGUAUAUUUUCAUUAGUUGAACUGGCAGACAAGUUAAUCAACAAAAGGGAUGUGAAAAGAGCCAUGAAAGAAUGGGUUACACUUCACGACCUUCUUUGAAGAUUCUAAUAAUGAGUGAAAACAUUUUGGUGCUCUUUUUAAUAUUUUCAGCAGUCAAACCUCUAUGCGACGGUUAAAUAAUGCUCUUUGUGCUCUCUCUCUCUCUCUAUCUCUCUCUCUCUCUGUUUUCUUAUAGAUAUUUUACCUUUAAUCGGAAGAAUUGCUGAAAAGUAUAAAUUUUCUUAUGGCAACCGUAUUGAGUUUAUUGCAUGGGUAAGAGAGAAUGAGGGAAAGUCAUUAAGGAAAAGCACAACUGAAAAGCCAUAUGCCCAUGGUAGUCAUGAGCCAAACUAGGCCGAGACGACCCCAAUAACCUACUUAUAGCUUUGCAAUGACGUUUGGUAAAUAAAAUAAGAUGUAAUUGCUCUGUGCUAGAAGUAAUGUAGUUUGAUUAGAUGUAGGUUGUGUAAUGUACUUUGUCCUGACUCCCUUGGGUUUCUUUGUAGGAAUUGUGGUCACUGUUGGAAUUUAUGAUGCCUGAUCUUUUUGCAACUGAAGAUGUGGACUUGAAAAAACUUUUAACUGCUGAGGACCGAGCCUUAGUCAGUCGUAUGAAGUCCAUUCUAGGACCAUUUAUCUUGAGACGUUUAAAAUCUGAUGUUAUGCGGCAACUUGUUCCUAAGAUACAAAAGGUAUGGAUUUUGUUGCUCACCCCUAGCAGAUAAUAGUUUUAAAUAGGUUCAACCUCUCUCUCUCUCUCUCUCUCUCUCUCUCUCUCUCUGAGUCUAGGCCAGUUUCACUUUUGUUGUUUUUUUUAAUUUUUUUUCCUUCUUUUUUUUUAAUUUUUUUUUUCUUUUUUUAACAAAGCUAAUGCUUCAUUCUAGAGGGUCUCAGUGUUUAACUCUUGCAUAGGUUGAGUUUGUGGCAAUGGAUCAGCAACAGGAGGAGGCUUAUAUAGAAGCUAUUGAGGAGUAUCGUGCGGCCUCAGGAGCUCGUUUGGAAAAAUUUUCAGGAGAUUGCCUGAGCAAUGUCAACAAAAUUCUACCAAAACGUCAAAUUUCUAACUACUUUGUCCAGUUUCGGAAGGUGCUGCAUCAUAUUUGCGAUGUUUCCUAAACACAGAUGUUCUAAGGAUCUCAUGACUGAAAAGUGUUUUUUCUUGCUAAAAUUUGAUCCAGAUUGCAAAUCAUCCUUUGCUAGUGAGGCGCCUUUAUGAUGAUGGUGAUAUUGUUCGUCUCGCUAAGAAGUUAUAUCACAAGGGUGCCUUUGGGUUUGAAUGUGGUUUGGAAAGAGUAAUAGAUGAAAUGAAGAAGUAUAGUGAUUUCUCUAUUCAUCAGGUAUUUCUUAGUGGCAUAAACUACAUAUCUAUAAUGAAGUCAUUCAUAUAAUUGGGAUGGAUUAUACUCUCUUGUAUAAUUGCUCUUAUUGAUUGCUGCUUGUUGUCCUUCCGUUUUAUUUGAGCAGAACACUUACAUUAUUCAGAAGAUGUUGCAGAUAAGCCUGUACUUUCCAUUAAACUAGAUACUUGCUUAUUGAACUUAGUAUGUCAAGUUUCUACUUCAGCCUUGUCAAUAACUUACCUGGAUGGCAGGGGCACAAGCAAUCUGUAGUGCAACUUCUGAUCCUCAGUUACGUGUACUAUAUUUGAGCUAAAUAUACUGAUUUGGACCCUUUAUGGAAACCCUUUGUUGGCCAUCAUCAAGUAUUACUGAGGAAUAGAUGAGCUUCAUAGUUUACCGUAGUCUUGGGCCCAUUAUGCUUAAAGAAAGCUCUUCAGUGGCACUUGAUAGAAGCACCAAGGAACUCUUGUCUCAACAGCUUAUCUACUGUCUGCAUGACUAGUACACAACUUUAUUGCAAGUGACUGUUGAUAAUAUUUUAUUCCCGCCUAUUAUCUGGCAUCAGGGAGAUGAUAAAGAUGAUGGUAACCAUAUUAGACAGUGAUGCAUCUGAUUAACCAUGCCUUUUUUUGGCCAGCUGAUUUUCUGUAAUUUAACUGCUUUUUUGAGUGAUGCACAGUAUGUUUAUUGGCUAUACUUUCAAGUGUCACAGUAAGACUAGUGUUCUGUUUUUCAAAACUUAUUGAUGGACAUCCGGCAUAUUAAGCAUCUUCUUUCUGCUUGUCUCAUUGCCAGCAAAGUGAAAUUUUGAAUGGGAGCAGUCUAAUACUUGAUUUGCAUCAGCACUUUUUUUACCUAUUUGAUCAGUGAAAGUUUAAUUUACCUCAAACUUUGUACUGACGAUUUAUUGUGCCUUUUAACUUUUUACACUGAUAGGUGCCAUAACUAUAUUUGUGCAGCUUUUACUUUGUUAUGGUAUCGAUGGGGUUCUAUCUGAGGAACAUGCCAUGCUUUCCGCUAAGUGCCGUGUAUGUUUUCGUCUUAUAUCAUAUCAAGUUUAAUUUGAUCCAAUCCACUUGUAAUCAGAUGGAUUAGCUACAUUACAGGCACUGGCUGAACUUCUUCCUGCACUCCAUAAAGAUGGUCAUCGCGUCCUGAUAUUUAGCCAGUGGACCUCAAUGCUUGAUAUCUUAGAAUGGAUAUUGGAACUUAUAGGGGUUACGUACAGACGUCUUGAUGGAAGGUACUCCUGUCUGAUUUAUUUCUCUCUCUUGUUCUUCUGCAUUCAUUGAUUGCCUGCUAUCUUUCUUGUUUGCUUGCUCCUACUAACUGAAUGGUGAAAAUUCAAUAAGCAAAUUUGGGUAAUACUAUGCUCCAAGCAGGAAAUGAUUUUAUCUCCUUGAUCCUCUAUUGUGUUUGCCCUAGUAAAUGCGUGAUCUUGGGAGGGAGUUUCAUGUUUCUGAGUAAUAUGUUCUAUUGGCCGUGUUCAGCUUACUAUCUCUCUUUGUUGGGUUAGUAUGUCAUCCCAUUGAAUGCAGGAAUUUCUCAAGGUCUCUGUUCUUUGAAGCUGUUCUCAUAAUGGUUAUUUCUCAAGCAUGUCUUCAGUUUUCCCCCCUUUUGGAUCUCCUUGUCCAAUGAAGCAAUUGGAUUAAUGCUUACAUCUUCUAAAAUCCAGCAGUGCUUCCUGGAUUGUCAUUUUGUUUUAGCUCAUUGCUUCAUUAUAAAGUGUGGUUUAAUGUUCAUGCAUGCUCUGUAAAAGCACUUUGUUAAUUUGUGUAUAAAACUGCCAGUACCCAGGUGACGGACAGACAAAGCAUAGUUGACACUUUCAAUAAUGAUACUUCCAUAUUUGCUUGCUUGCUUUCGACGAGAGCUGGAGGACAGGGUUUGAAUUUGACCGGAGCUGACACGGUUGUCAUCCAUGACAUGGAUUUCAACCCACAAAUUGACCGACAGGCAGAGGAUCGCUGUCACCGAAUUGGCCAAACAAAGCCAGUGACUAUAUAUAGGUGCAGUGCCAGUGCCUCCGCUUCUGAGAACAUUUUUUUUAAUAUCCUACUCAUCGCUUUACUUGUUUUUGUGAUUGCACAUGUGAGCUUUUGUUAUAUUAAGAUAUUGAACCAAAUUCUUUUCAGGUUAGUGACCAAGGGAACGGUCGAUGAGAAUGUUUAUGAGAUUGCGAAAAGGAAGCUGGUUCUGGAUGCUGCUGUUCUGGAGUCUGGUCUUGAGGUUGAUACUGAGAAGGAUACAUCUGAGAAGACAAUGGGGGAGAUACUGUCUGCACUUUUGCUUCGCUAGAGGUUAGUUCGUUAGAAAACAAAUAGGUCGACAGAAGUUCAUGUUGUCAGAAUCGUCUUGGCAAUUCCCUUUCAUAUUUCUGGGUUAUAGUGGGGGCAUAUGCCAUUUUACUUUCCUGGUUAUCUCCCAAUAACACCGGUGUUAUGACAGUAAGUUUGUAUAUUUUAGGAUUUACUCGAGAGCAGGAGGGAGAUUUGUAUGUAAUAUUUAAAUGUUGACUAGCAUCUAUAUUAGGGGCCCAAAUUGGGCUCUGAUAGAAGUGAAUGUUGGCAGGAAUCUUUAUGAAGUGAUCGUCUGUCUGUCGAGCUUUUGAUGUUGACUUCUCUCGGACUUCAGUAUAGUGAUAGAAGUGAAUAUCGACAGGCAUUACUCUUCUCAAAUGGUAUCGUUGGUGUGUUAGCGCUUUCAGUCGGAUCUCUCAGAAAUCAGUUUGCUGUUUGGUAUCAAUCGGAUCUCUCAUCAGUUCAUUUCUUUGACCGGCUUAAGCCUUUGAUGUGUCAAAUCAAGGUCUUAGGCCUAUUUCCGUUUGCAGAUUCUGUCAGAUGACGCAAUAAAUCUUUCUGGUCAAUAAAGGAUAUAACUGAUUCGAAGGCAUCAACUGUACAUGGACAUUUACAGAGUACGACAUUCUGCAUCUGUGACGGUGGUGACAGAUUGGGACUAGUAGAAGUUUAACCGCAUGUGUCCAUCGUCAAAUAUGCCUUCGCCUGACCAAGGUUUGAUAAAAGGGAAAGCGCUUCUGAGGUCUACAUAAAUCCAUGCACUUCGGCACGAUGGUUCUCCUCUUCUCAACCUUAUGUCGAAUUGAUAAGUGAACUACUCUCAACCUUAGUGGAAUGAUAAGAUCCAAGAACCUCAAGCGUUCCGGGUGCUCUCCCGAACAAGACAGGAAGCCUAUUUAAAAUACUCCCAAUCUCAUGCCCAAAAUACUUCCUCUAGAUCUUUAAACUUUUCAAUAUUCGUAAAAUGCUGUCUAAACUCAUUUGUAGAAGGAAAAGAAUAUUGUUUUUUAGGAUUGAUAAGGUCAUAAAUUAAGAGGUGAAAGAUCUGGGAGUUCUUUUUCGGUCGAUGAAAGACUUGUAGCUACACUUACACUUGGAAUGAAUUGUUUCAAGUUACCCACCUUCAAUUUAUUGAACAUAUGAGAACAAGAACCUGCCAAUGCCUGAAAUCCGUUUGUUUUGAAACAUUAUGACUACUUCUAUAUGUAAUGUCAAUGCACUUUCAUGAAUCUCAAGAUAAAUCCAAAUGUAGAUGUUGUACUUUCUGAAUAGCCAAGUCGGGGACCACUUGAGCUCAUUCAAUAGGCGUACUGACACUAGGAGAUGUAAGAAGUAUCAUAUUGAAUGUUCUACAUUUAUUUAUCAAAUGAGACACAUCAAUCUUUUUUGGCCAUGCAAUUCUUACUUUCUCUCGCUUGGCCUAAUAUAGUCUCAUAUUCUAUGAAGUUACUUAUGAUGUUAAUUAUUGUUGCCUAUAUCCUUUUCAUUUUAGUAAUCACGUCUGUUGUGUAAUUUGCUAUCAUUCUUUUAGAAAGAAACUUCAUGAGAUAUGGAACUCCUUUUGAUGCAUCAUUAAGAGCCACAUACACGGGAACUCAGGGUUUUUUAAUAACCUGCAUAGCAAUUGACUCGCAGAAAUAUUUGAAGACGCGUGCAUUUUUUUUGUAAUAAUUUACUAAAUUAUUAUAACAUAAAGAAGAACUCUAACUAGUUUAGGAAGGGACUUGGAACAAGCCAAUUUAAAAGUUAGAAGUUCACAGUAGAAGUCCGAUACAUUCAAUCAAGAAGAUUGUCAAGAGGGAGUUUAAGUUUGAACCCGUCAACAUAUCUAAUUGUAUUCACUUUUGCUUAAAGGCUUAAGCCAACAAGUUAUGGGCCAACAAAGAUAUAUUAACCCCUAUACAUUUCGUUGAUUCUCCAAUAUAGGAGUUUUUCUAAUAUAAUUUACAUGUGCUUCUCGACAAUCUUCCUACCUAGCGUGAACUUAGUGUUAAACCCACCCCUCCUUAAUAAAUAUCCUUCUAUAUCAAUAUGUCUCAAUUUGAAUCCCUAAUGUUCACCUUCAUCUCGAGUCCCUUUCUCUAGAUUGAACUAUGAAGGCUACUACUAGGACCACAUUAGUCAGAUUCCUCCUUUGAGACAUUCCCCAACCACUUAUAUACAUUAGGAGUGGUUGGGAGUACGUAGUAGAAAUUCAAUAACUUUACUUAAUGAGAUUGCUAAGAGAAAGCCUAAAUCUGAAUGUGUCAACAUAUCUAGUUAGACUUGCAUUCAAUUGAAAACUUAAAUCAAUGAGUCAUGACCCAAUUAUGAUAUAUUAAAUACUGUACACCACGUAAAUCCUUGGAUACUGGACUUUUUUUUAACACAACUCAUGCAUGUAUAUGAAUAUCACAGUGAAUUCAUUUCCUUGUUCUACUCUCUCUCUCUCUCUCUCUCUCUCUCUCUCUAGCAAAGGUGUUGUCGGUGUUGGUUCUCUUGUUAGCUCUUGCCUCGCCAUGGUGGCAAACAGUGUUUGGCGGCAAAGGCCUGGUUGCAGGAGGAUUUUGUCAUUGAUGGAGAAGGUAGAAGACCGAAGAACAUAAAUAACGUGGAUUGGUUCUAUGUCAGCCACCAAAAGCAUAAACAUGGAUGUGUCAUUCAAUAAAAAGGGAACCAAUUCAAGAUGUAAAUUCAUCACCUGAAUGUAAAGGAUCUUUGUCACAUUAAAUAACACCGUAAGCUCGCAUCUAUUGCCUAAACAUCAUCAUCACUGCAUAUGAGCUCCCUGCAGCAAUGCGACUGUUACCACCAUGUACCUUUUCCACCUAUUGAUCGCUGACAAAUGGUUAGUUACCUUCUCAGGCACGUCACCCCCACAUUAUCAACCUAUCAAACUAUCAUGAGCUCGCGAAUAAUAUAUAGGCUGAACCGAUUUUGCCAUUGGAGCCAUGUUAUGGUCCAACUUGAUACCGAUCGCAUUUAUCAAUAGAACUCAAAUACGUGGAGGUUCUUCUCGUAACUUUGAAUGACUAUUCGAGUCAAAAGAAGGGAGCAUAUAAGAUCAUUGACGCCUUGCGUUUGUAGUAAGCGGAGACACAAUAUAAAAAGUUUAACGCGAACUACUUUCCAUGAUGUUUGUAAGACAUAGCCGGCACCAAGCAAUUGGCUUAUUCCUCCACCACAAAAUAAUAAAGGGUUGUUCAUCUUUUUCUGGGAAAAAAGAAAGAAUAGAAGAAGAAAUCAACCGGCCUUAGGGCUGAGAUGUUACUGCAGUAAGGCUGAGUUUCUGGGUUUGCGUAAGAUGUGACUGUUUCUGGAGCUGGAUUCGCAGCUACUUGCGACGCAACAAAUGCAUAAAAAGAACCAGAAAAAAAGAAAAAGAAAACGAAUAUGUUGCUGAAUAUAUAAACAUGCAUGGAUAGACACACCGAUGAGGUGGGAUGAUCCUUAAAAAGCAAAAUUUAUCAGUUACCGAGGGGGUUAUCUGGAUUAAGUAGAAAGUGGAUGGCAGGCGAAAAAGGAGUUAGUUGGUAUGUCAUAUAGGUAAUGAUGACGAUAAUAAAAAAAUGACAACAAUAAUUCCAUUUUUGAAGAUAUUUUGUAGCAUCAGCUCGCUCUCAGGUCUCCAUCUUUGUAGGGGAAUCUUUUCUUUUUGGGGUGCGUGUUUGUGUGUCGUAGCAGCACCCUCUAGUCUCGCUCUCUCUCCUACAGAAUUGAUAGCCCGUGAUAUCUCUCUCUCUCUCUCUCUCUCUCUCUCUCUCGUAUGGAUAUGGUACGGCAACAGCUGCGAAGUUACCACCCCAUGAAAAAGCCCUACGAUGGAAAGAUAGUUUCUUGUCAUUUUUGCUCUCAUAUGUCAACAAAGAAUCUCUCCCUCGUUCUCCCUCUCUCUCUACAUACUGAUGUGCAAUGUGGGAAUGGUCCAACUGCUACGAAAUCGGCAGCUUGAGGGAACCCUACAACAAAAAGGAAGGUCCCUCGAUGCGUUUCUCUCUCUUUCUCUUUGACAGACGAUCUUUCUCGCCUCCUUUUAUUUAUUACCCUCAGAGAGAGAGAGAGAGAGAGAGAGAGAGAGGGGUACCUCUUCUCAGUACUUUUUGUCACUGCCUGCCUCUGCUUGAACAACAGCAUCAUAUUAAAUUAUGUCAUAAGAUAAUCGGCAAAGUAUAUGGAACCAAUUAGGAGAAAAAAAGAAAUAUAUAUAUAUAUAUAUAUAUAUAUAUAUAUAUAUAUUAUCUCUUAUAUUCUAUUGGUGGGUAAUGAGCUUUGAAGAAUAUUAACACAUUAUUUUUUUACCCUUCCCUGAAAAGAAAAAGAAUAUCUUGCAUCAUAUAAAUAAACAAGGGGUGACCCACAUAACGUGUCCACUCGAAGGUCGCCAUCGCUCACAUGCAAUCGAGCAGGCGAAUCACGUCGUCUUUGGUCGUGUUGUUUGGGGCUUUGUCCUGCCCUUUUGUAGUCUUGCCUGCCGUGAAAAAGUCCACCCAAUUCGCGUAAAAUCGCAAAACGCCAUGCAACGACACGAAUACGAGCGGGUUGCACAAUGCGCGCGCGUGCGGGAGGUCGACUGAAGUACUGGUUUUAUCACUUUUUUAACACUUGAUGAUACAUAGUACUUCAAGUCUGUAUAGCUUCUUCAACCGAUCAUUUACUUAGUGCAGCUACCUGCCUCACCUGGCGUAGUUUUCUUUGUCAUGCGUAUCGAUGUGUUCCCUCUUUGUAUUCAUGUGAAAUCCCUGCCUAAAUUCAACAGUCCCUCGUGGAGCUCUGGUUCGUCCCAUGCGGCCGGGUUUUACGUCAAGAGGUUCAGGUCACAUGGUCUGGAGUGAAAUGGCCCUUCCUUCUCAUGCCACUUGCUCUUUCCAUUUCCUUUUCCAGUUGGUCAAGCAAAUUCGAUCUUCUGUACAACGCCUGACCUUUAUAGAAAGUGAGUUCGCCGGAAGAUGAUCUUCAAUUCUCAAAAUUCAACUAAAACCAGACAACGCGCUUUGUCCAUCGGAGUUCUCCUCCGCCUUCAAGCUCUGAAACUAUGGUCCUCUCCAUCCAACGCCUUGCGCGAACUGUGCGUCACCAGCAAAGCCCACCUCUUGAGGCGUACUAGCCAAAACAAAUUUUCUGUCUAGCGUCGGUAACUCGGAACUUCGUCGAUACAUCCGUAGGCCUAUGUACAUUUAGUCCAAGAACCGCAGUUAUGUACCUAUUGGAGUGGGGUCUUGAUAACCUCUUGACUAUAAGGCUCAAUUUGUCCUUCCUAAAUCAUAAACAUCACUUCGCAAAAUUCCUUUUUUUUUUUUUUCAAGAUGAUGUAUCAUGAUCUUAGCACUAAAUUAGUUUAAUAGUCUAUUGAAGGGAAUGUAUCUUACAUGUAAAUCGUUGGGUGUGGCGAAGUACCAAUCAAUUUUGAAGAAGAUGAGGUUGUAUCCCAAGGAAUAGGCGGAAUUCGCUUUGGGAUUUGAAGUACUUUAAUUUGAUUCUCUCUUGUGAUGUGACAGUGUUUACACACAGGGUUUGAACGCUAACAUGUGUACGGGUUUUGAUUUUGUUAAGUGAAUUCAUUGAUGAUAAUUUCUAUCUGAUGACUGUUUGUGUAGAAAAUAUUUCACGCAGGAGAUAUACCUUAUACAGAUCCAUGAAGGAUCUUACUUCUAAUGGGUGGUAUGUGAUUAUCUGAGACACAGAAAAUUAAAAAUUAAAAAAAUUAAAAAAUUAAUGGAUCUGUUGAAUGGGAAGACGACAGGUGGCAGAUUCAAUUAACGUGCGGACGACCCAACAAAAGAUAUGGGGCACGGCGAACAGAAGUGGAGGGGGACCCUCAAACCCGAGCUCGUCAGUUUGCUAAACAAUCACAAGAAAAUCUUCCCAGUUUUAGCAGCAGCAACAGUGUGCUUCUAGUCCCGAAGGUCUUGUCUAUGGCUAGAUUGUUGGGGCAUACAUGGAAGUUCAUUGUGAUCUUCAUCUAUUAGAAAAGUAAAAGAAAAAUGAAGAAGAAGAUGAAAAACAAGGAGAUUCUCUCAUCAUUAUGGCCACUCAAGAAGCCAGAACCCUUGACUGGGUCGCUGCUGUCUACGGCGAUGGCUGCUCGAUGGAUGAAAACUGGGGAUUGACGUCUCUGACUAACUCGACGUCCUCAAUUUGUUCUCUUCGAAGUGGAUUAUACGGAGCGUAACUACAAGUCAAUGGUCGAGAUCAUUUCUCUAUCUCCAAGUCUUUUCCACCAGUUUCGUUUCUUCCCUUUCUUUGACGCCGCCAGCGAUGUCACCUCCACCGUUGACCUCAGCCCUAGCCAACACGCUCUCUCUCUGAGCAACCGAUGAAGUGCUACGGCGAGCCAAUGCGCUGCGCAGACGAGCGGAGGUGGAGGCAUUAGGGGAGAGGGGAGGGAGAAGGGAUUUGAGGGUUUUGUUUAAGAUUUGUCACGAAGAAUAAGAGUAGUUUAGUGAACUUUGAUCAACCCUUAACUACAGAGGACACUAUUGAGAUGGCAGAAGCUCACGACUAUGAUCUUUCUCUCGAAUUCGGAUGGAUGCAAUCUACGGUGAGUUAGCUCUUGAUUUGACAUAGGGAAGAACUGUUUACAUAAAGUUCAUUAAACUUUUCUUUGGUUAGCAUUUAGAAUAUACAAGGAGGAAAAUGACGCCGUGCCCACCUUUUACUUCCAAAAGGGCGGCAUUUUCAGCCAACCGCAGUACAUCAGAUCACUUUGCGUAUCUUUUCGGGAGAAAAUAUUCGGUCCACCUGACUUUGGACUAAAUAUCACUAUGACAGCAUUAUUUGGCUUAUGUCCUGCUUGUCAAGAUUUCACUUAUUCACCUACCUAAACUUAUUAUCUCUAUGGAUUUAACUUACUUUAUGUCAGCUAAUGAAAGUUCAUUAAAACUUUCAGUCACAUAGUUUCCUUGGAAUUAUUAAUAAGGUUUUGACUUCAUUACCCUUGGAUGGAACGCAAUGAAAAGCUCAAGGAAAUGCUUCCUCUAGUUGGAUAGACACAAGGAGAAUGAAAGUGGGAGGAAAUGUGUGUACUGAGCUACGCGCCGCGCCGCGCGUGUCCUUUACAUUACAUAAAUUCAUGCCACGAUAUCAUUCGUAACAAAUAAAUUAGACAUUUCAAGCGGUGAUUUUUCUCGGCGAGUCUUUACUUACCAUACUUUUCAAGAUUGAAUUUGUUUCGACUCUUGAUUUUUAACUAGUUUUAAACACGGAUUUAGAGCUUAUCUUUCCUCAUUGUCAUCAGGGUCAUGAAAAAGCCAUACCAAUUAUGGUUCUCCCAACUCUAUCCUUUAGAUUCCUCUAUCUGUCUACAGAUAUCAUAAAGGGAACUUUUCUUGUAGUAGAAAGCGGCCAUAAUGAGCGUGGGGGAAAAAACAAGAGAGCUGCCUCAUAAAUUCUUUAGAAUUACAAGUUUUGUCUAUCCAUCAGGAAUAAUACCAAAUGAAUGGUGGGCAGAUGGUUAAAAAGCAAAUAACUGAAAUCGCAAAAGGGCCAGCAUCGAUCUCUCUCGAUAAAGCUCACUACAUUUUCAAUCUAAUGUUCUAGCGUACCCAUAUACAUUUUCGGGCACGAGUUGAAUUGGAAACGACCAUGUGCUUCUAUGGUACAGACUUUAUAGUAUACUAAGACGUGCAUGCACUAGGUUAUCAUGUGAAAAAAAUAAUCGUGGGGGGGUCAGAGAGGUGUAUAAAAUCUCGUGAGAGAGAGAAAGAAGAGAGAGAGAGAGGGAAUAUUUUUUCCUAACAAGAUGAAAUAUCACUUGCUGGGGGCGGAUGUUGAACAGCUCACCAAGAGAGAGAAGGCUUGUCUUUUAUGUUGUCCGUGCCGGCCAGGGGCAAGUAUUCCAAGCAGCUGACCUAAUGGGACCCUGCUAAAAGAUCAUAUUAUAUACACUCCGCUCGAUCAAUAAUAUCGACGAUCGGGUCGUAAUAAUUCGAGGAUUCGUGCUGUUUCAAACGAUUCGGAAUCCAAAGCCCGACCAUCUCUCAGGGUGUGGAUCGCUCUAUGACGCAAGGAAUAUAACCGAACGGAAAGAGUUUUUAGUUGUUUUCAGAACGAGAUAUUAUCCUAAUUGAGUGAUGAGCAAGAAUGUAACUAUUCAGCGAGAAAAUAAUGGCGUGUCGAUAUGUUUUCCUCCCUUGUCGUUCUUCCAACUAAAUCUUUAAUCCGUACAUUUUUGUAUGUGAUCAGUAUUCGUAACUUGCAACUCAUCAAUUGAAAAUUCAAUUGGAUGAAGUUUCCUCUAACCAACGACGGAGUUGUGUUUUGAGAUUACUAAAGAUAGCUUCGCUUUCUGAUGGGGCCGACGACUCCUUCGUGUGGAGAAGGAGGUCCAUGCGCUCUCUCUCUCUCUCUCUCUCUCUCUCUCUCUCUCUAUACCCCCAUCACUUUCGUGUCACUCCACCGUGGGACACCGGGAAUCCAUGGGAAAAAAACCCUAAGAGAGAAGUCCUUUCUCGAGAGAUAAAAGGUGACCCACCCCUCGAAGCAAGUCGCCCUCUACUUUUCUUUAAUUUAAACAUUCUCUCCUUGUCCUUGUCCCCCCGAGGCCGGGAUCUAAAAAAUUAUAAUCCCACCUUAAUAUCCGAUAAAGAAUGAGGGGAAAUCGUUGGGAAUAUUAAGUAGGUAGUGUCUUGUUGUCUAAGAAUUUAGGUAAAGUAUGUCGCCGCAUUAUUUAAUAUCGUCUUGAUGGUGGAGGAGGCCGGAUCGCGUACGUGACUAGUUAAGUACGACCUACUGGUUGGUCUUGCAGGCAUCAAUUUUUAUGGAGAAAUGCGUCGCAAUGAGGCCCGAGUGCCGAGCAAGACUAUGCGAACCUCUUUUUUUUUUUUUUUUCCUUAUGUUAAAUCGGUUAUUUGAUGUUGUCGCAGGCGAUGGUAGGUACGAGCUGCCGGAGGCACGUCGGCGAGGGCUAGCAGCCGCUGCAACAGGCGGGCAAAGGCGCGGUAUCGGCACAACAGGCUCUACAGUUGUUGGGGUUGUUGGAGAGAGAGAAAUGGAAAAAGGAAAAAGGAAAAAGAAAAUAGAAUAAAAUAAAUAUCUCGGCACUAUUGAAUAUUUAACAUGAUAAUGAGUGGCUCGUCUAUAUGGAUUAAAUUUAGCAUGUAAGUUUACCUCUAAUUGGAGGAUCUCUAUCCUUUCAUGUGACCUUAGAUACCAAUAAUAAUAAUUAUUUUUUUAUUUCGUAUUUUAGAGUUAUUUUUCUAGAACGAUUCUUGCUUUCGAUGCACUAUAAAUAGAGGCCGGUUUAGUAAUUUUCUGGGAUGUUUCUACAGUGAAUUGAGAUUGUCAUACCCAUUACGCUACGUACUUCUCCGUGGUCUUGUUAAACUCUCUUUCUUCGUGGCGGUCGCAGAUUGCUAGCUAGCGAGCCGACAAUUAACUUUUCCUGAUAAAUCUGACAUUUGCUUAUUUAAAUUCCUUGUAAUUUUAUUCCAUUUAUAUACAUUGCUCACCAACCAUAGAUGAGGCGUAAGAGUAUACACAAAUCUAAUUCUAAUUCAGUCAUUCUCCGAACAUUAAUGAAGAAUCGACGGCACAUAGCUCGUGCAAUCCGAUGUAAAACGUCGACCAAACGAAGGGGUGUUUAUCAAAGAUGAAAGACUGGCCAAACGAAGCGUACACUCUCUCGAGAAACAGGACGAACGCUCUUUGCUUUUAAAACAGUAAUUAAUAAUAAAGAAGCGACAUUUAUGACAGGUCCUAAUUAAGGAGAAAACCCAAAUUACGGUAGUCCGCAAAUUUAACUAGAAUCACUUUCUUUCUUUUUUUAUAAGAAAAAAUUUAGGUCUUAAGUCCGCCACCUCCAAAGUUCAAAUGGUGACUCGUUUCUGCGAGAAAAAUCACUUUUAGAUUCAUAAACUUCUGACUUGUAGAAUAUCUUAUUUUGACCAAAAAAAAAAACUUCUGACUUGUAGAAUAUCUCUAACUUGGAUGAGGUAAUAUGUAACAAAAAAUGCGGAAUUAAUUCCUCUAAGGUCCUGCUACGAUUGAGAGGAAUGAGACAACGAGAAAAACAUAAAAGUAAUCUGAAUAAAGAAUGAGGAAUGGGAAUUGCACUUGAUUUCUGAAUUAGAGAAGUGGUUGGUACCGUUUUAGAAUUGGAAAUAUGAUUUGAAUCUUAAAAUUUUUAAUCACUUUAGAACUAACAGGAUAUGGUUAGUACAACUUUUCCGUCAUAGUUGCUUCAACUGUGAUAAAGGAUACCGCAACUUUCACAAGGUAUUUGCCCAACAUUUCAUAGCCAUUUGAAAUCCGUUUCGCCUACCUUUAAUCCAUUUGCUAUAGUUUUAAACAUUUAUUAACAAGCAUACAACUCCCAUACUUCACAGCACAAGAUGGUUAAAGAAAAGCUCGAUUGUGGUUUAGCUACAGUUACACCAAGCGAGCUUUGACCCUUGAUUGUUUUUACAUUUUUGUAUGCAAUGUAAGCGAUUAUUUAAAAAAUAAUUAAAAUUAUUCAUUUUUCGAAGCAAACAUAUCAUUAAUCUCAAAAUUUGUUUUAUUAUGUGUUUUGGUCUCUAAUAAUCUGCAUUUGCGUGGAGUUCAAGUCAUUAUGUUAUUCUAGGUGAGUAAAAAAUGCAAGGAUAUAAGGGUCACCCUUUGAUUUUAGGGUCAUUUUUGCAAUUUCGUUGAGAUUCCCUAAUCUUACGGGCAAAGAAGUGGGACCCAAAGUUAAGCUGAGUCUUAGGUCAAAUUAUAUAAUACUACCAGGCCUUUAUAUAAACUUAAUUGUAUAGAUUAAACUUUAGGGAACGGUCAAGCAAUUUUUUCAUACCAAGAUUUCGAGUUUAGUUCAGUCAAUAUGACUCGCCAUAGUGGAUUAGGUGCCAACCGUUCCUUUGUGGCUUGACUCAUUAUAAACAAUAUUUUAUGCACGCCCAAAUUGAGUUUACACUGUCAUAGAGAUCUCGAGUUUGAUUCUUUCACCAAUUAGUUAUCUUAUAGUAUUCGAUAAUGCAACCUUUGCAUGCCUUAGCUAAAAAGGAUGCAGAUUUUGACGCCAACAAUUUGAAUGGUGCCAUCAUAUUAAUUGUUAGAAUAUUUAAAUAAUAAAUCACUCAUUCUUCUACUUUUAGAACAAUUGGCAAUUGUUUCAAGAAAAUCUCGUAUGAUAUUGGAAUUAGAAGCACCUCAGUUCAAAUCUUCUAGACUUUUAUUUGCCUCCUUAAUCACAUAUUUUGACGCCUUUGGCUAUAGCUAAAGUCCCAAUCUAUUAAAUAAUUAGCAGUGGUUCCAUAAAAUCUCAUAUUUGUGUUAGUUGUUCACAUCGAAAUGUUUCUAAUGAUUGCAAAUAAUUUUUUGAUUGAAAAUAAAAACUAGUGAAAGCAUGUCAAGUCAUGUUGACUUCGAAUUAGUUGUGGCGAUGUCAAAUUUUAAUUUUCACAGGGAUGUUCUUCUCAUGUUAAAAUCUCAUCUUGUUGAGUGAAGAAUUGCCACUCACAAUAUAAAUUCUCUUGAUGUUAACGGAACUAUUGCGUCAUUAAUUUAAUACACAUAUGAUCCUGGCAUGUCAUCAAAACAUAAUGUCGUAGUGAUAUAUACUGAUCUUAAAAGGAUGGUACAAGUCAAUAGAUAAGGAAUUUAUAUGGUGUACACAGCUGGUAUUUAAUAUGCAAUUUACAAAAUUGCGUUAAUUUUUGGUAACUAUGCAUGCUUCAAUUUGCUAUCUACUUAAUGCAAACAGGGAGGACUAUUUAUUACCAGCUUGAACUCACCACACAUAUCAUAUCUUUCUUGAGUACCCAUAUUGUAAAUUGUAGAACAUUUGCCGUGAUCCUUGUUUUUGGAGCCAUAAAACUACUUUUACACUGCAUUUGUUUCGUGAAAAAUAAAUAAUAUAGAAAAUAUUUUCCUAAAAAAUGAUUGGUCGUAUUGUGUGUAAUAAUUAGUUAAUGGAAAAUAUUUUAUCGAUACAAAUUUAUGUCUGAAUAUGUUUAUAGACGACAAAAAUAUUUUUCGUUCAAUCAUUUUUAAACGUAAUACAAGCGUUCUUUUUCAAUAAAAUAUUAUUCAUAUAUUUAUUUUUCGCCAAACAAAUGAAAUUUUAACCAUAAUUUGAAUUUGGUGGAUAAUAAUUCGUGGCUAAAAGGGUUUUUUCUUGUAACGAGAAUUUCGAUCCUAUGCCCAAAAAAGAGGGUUUACUCUUCAUGCUAGUGUCUCCAUCACCACAACAGUCCGUGGUGACCUCUUCAAUGCUCUUCACUAUUUAACAUAAAAGAGAAAUUAAAAAAAAAAAUCCGUUGUGAAUUUAGAACAGUUUUGUCUUAUGGUGUUUGAGACAAAAGUAAAGAAGCAGCUACAUCUCAACUGCCAUUGCAAUUUCUCACAACUAAAAAGACUCGGAGAUGGGGACGAGAAGAGCAAAUGAAGAAACGUGGGAAAGGGAAACACGACGGAUGAGGCUUGUUCACAUACAUCCAAUCGAUUUGACUAAUCUUCGUAAAUACACACAGAUUGUCUUUUUUUUUUUGUCGAUUAUUCAACUCAUACUUUAACUCUCACUCUUAGACUUUUAUCUUGUCUUAUUGCAAAAUGUGGAAGUCGAAACAUACACUUGAAACUAAAUUGUCCUCACUUUAACUCCCGAGAAGGUGGAGAUUCAAACUUCCCACCCCUCUUCCAUAUUGAAAGAGUAGCCACUAGGACAAGCCUUAUAAUGGAGGGAGCGGCUUGUAAGGUUACAUUGGAUAAAGCCUCAAAGCGUUUUCUUCCAAAGAUUUAUACUAUUAGGAAGCGAGUCAAUAAUGUUCGUAUAGUAUGCCAAGUUUUAAACCAUUGACUUAUGUUUAAGUGCAACUUGACAUUGAGGGCAAUACAGCUCUGAGUUGGCGAUGUCUUUUGAAGUUAAGACCUGCUCUAACCUCAAUGAUCUCUAGCUCUAGAUAUUGUUACAAAGAGGUAUAUCAAGAAUUCAAAUAAGUGGGACCAAUCAUAGAGUGAUAAGUAUUCAUAUGGAUCGAUGAUAUUAGUUUACACAAAUUCACACAUGGCUUACCUGUAAAAAUAGAUUGCCGACAAAAGAGGCCGUAACACACUUGAAGCCUUUAGUUGAUAUUCAAUAUAACUUAUGUUUGUCUAGUUAAUUAGACGGAACCCAUUUAUUCUUUAAGUGCCAUUGAAUGUAGAGUAUAUGGCGAAGUAUCCUCGUCCAUAAUGGUAUUCAACGUUCUUUUAAUUAUGCAAGUACUCCUUUAUUAAUCUAGGUUCAUCUUAUACAUUCUCUGCACACAUCUAUUUGUUUAAGGGUGAAGUAUCAUUUAUGUCACUUUUAACUUUUCCUAAUUGUCCUCUUGCAAUAUUUAAUAUCCACUCAUCGAUGCAAAAACCAACUUCUUCUUUUUGCUACACAUAAUCGCCUUGAUUACCUACUCUCUUUUUUUUUUUUUGUGCAUAACUAGACCAUAGUAUAUGUGCACAUAGCGCGAGCUUAAACCCUAGUGCAUCUUCAUUCGGAUGACAUAAAUACAAAUUAAUUUUGCUCACUUUCCUGUGGCCCAUGCGUUGGAACCAUGGAAUUUGAUAAAUCUCACCUUGAGCUUCGCCACAUUUUGAAAAAUGGACUCAGAUUGUACGGAUCGGAUUCAUAAAAAGAGAAUUUUUUCUCUUGGGAACCUGCUGAUUGAGAGGGAUCGAUGAAGGCAGAUGGAAUAUGCCCACAUGACAAGCCAAUACAAAAGCACAGAAUCACAUACCACAGCCACGUCAAUUAUAUUAGCAGAAGAUAAGGUAUGAAACUGAAGCUUUUAAGAUGGGAAAUACAUUAAAAUUAUAUUUUAAAAUGUAAUUGAAUAUAACAGUGAGGUCGGCCGUCGCAACUUUUUAAGACCUACGCAUAUGGCAUUUAUUUAUUUAUAUUUAUCCGAAAUUAAGUUGCUUUUACGCCGUUUGUAUCAAUUCCAGCUCUUACUCGUACAUCCCUAUGCUGCUGUGCUUUUUAUGCAGGGUAAGGACAAGACAUGUGAUUCGCCACUUGGACAUUUGUUCGGGCUGUAACUGGUAAAUACGAAACCGAUCUUUGUCUCUGACUUGAAAAGCUCGAAUUACUUUAUUGUUUUUCAAUUGGAAAAUAGUAACGAGGAUUUGCCCCUAGCCGGAAAUUAUCAUGGUCCAACUAGCAAUUAAUUAGCACUCUUCUCUUAAUUCGUUUUGACCGUAUUAUUUUCUUAAUGUAAUUGAGUUGCUCAUUCCCGAACUAUUAGUUUUGAAUUGAUAAACAUUACGGAAACUCAUUAUUCUCUUAAACUCAUUUUGGCCAUAUUCUUCUCAUCAUCCAUAAACAAUCUUCUCACGUGUUUCAAUCACUCAACCUUCCUAGAGUUAUAAUCACUACACUCGAUUUCUACACAGGAGAUUAGCAAGAUAAAGACUAGAUGCCCAGAACAUAGAGUUUUAAAUUUUUUAUCUUUUCUCGCCCAACUCAACUUCUCCCCUUGAAUUGAAUUUAUAGACAUUUGUCUUCAAAUGACCUACACAAACUCAUAUCCAAGAUAUAGUUGUCAGUUCUACCUUCAAUCGCAAGCAAAUUUCCCAUUAUAGAGCUUUUAAAGAAAAAAGUUCCAUAUACAGUAGCAGUCUGUCAUUCUUUGUUUUUAUUGGUAAAAGGAAAAAAAAAACUAUUUGAUCUUUUCUAGUUCUCUUUUUAUGGGAUUCUAACACUUAAAAAAAUCAGCUGUGAAAUACUUAUUUAUAGACUCUCACCAUCACACAUUUGAGCCAUUCACUUUGUUCAUAGCCUGUUGCCUAUUACGAUCAGGUCCAUCCAAACUUUCCGACUGUCAUGUCAUACAGUUUGUUCAUCAUACCCAAUUAGGCCCCUUCAAGUUUAUUGACAUUCUCAUGUAUUGUAGUCUAUCCACUUUUUACUAGUCUUUCCGAACUCUUUGAAAUCUCACAUCCUACACUUUGCUUUGCAUCUGCAAACCAGUCCAUCCAAGCUUACCGACGCCCUCACAUCUUGUAGUUGAUUCACCUUCUAUUAGUCCAUCCAAAUUCUUUCCACUUCCAUUAGUUUGUUAAAUAUAUGCGAGAUAAUUUUCGAUGUAUGUAUUUGCAUCCACUAAUUUGUUCACCUCCUACAGAGUCCUUGUAAGCUCGAACUCAUUUCACACCGAAUGACCUGUUCACACUCCACAAUAUACAAAGGGCCUUCCCACACGCACGAGAAUGCACAUGAUGCCGUUAUCGACACCGUCUGCACAUGAUCCUACAUAUGUUUGCAAGUAGUACCUCUAAUACACACUCGAAUGUGCAUAUUGGUAGCCUUUAAUUGUCUUAUGAUCUUCAAAAGAAAUGCAUUGAAGAGAAUUUUCCCAACAAUCUUUUCCUUUAUAUGCAAUACAUUCAAAUGCACGUAUCGGCAACCUUUGAGUAUGAGUUCGCAAUAACUAAUGAUAUACACAUGAGACCCCGAUCAAGCCAAAUAACUCUUGCUUAAGUCAUAUGCUAAUUUAUUUUUAUGUUUUUUUUAUAAAACUAGAGCUCACCAUAGCCCUAGCUUAGCGCAUAAUCGUCAAUUUGAGCAAAGAAUUAAAACGGGUUACGCAUACACAAUUUUGAAUAAAUCGUGAGUGUCAAAAAAGAGGAGAAAAAUAUGCGAGCGCGGGGGUGACGAAAGGAAGUUUUGGAAGGACUCAAAGCAGAGAGAGAGAGAGAGAGAGAGGGAGAGAGAGGGAGA